UUACAAAUUCUGCAUUGUUUUCCCAUGGGUCAGAUUACCGUGACUACAUGUACAUUACCUUAUGCAUGGAGCCGAGAUAGCGCUCCCACUAAAAGUCUUCCUCCUGUCUUUUUCAGCUUCAAGAAAAACCAAUCAAUCCCAAUACAGCACAACAGUUACUUCCUUGUCGCGCAGCAGCACUGUUCACCAUCCGGCACAUCACUUGCUCUCUUUCAUAUGAGCCUCCCUCAUUAGACAAAUAUGACAAAUGAAUAAUUGAAGUAGUGCCAAAAAAGGAAUAACUGAAGUAAACAGCACAACAGCAAGAUCAUGAUAAUAAUACCACGCCAACUCAAAAUAAGAACAACAUGUCCGGAAUAUCUUAAACGCCACAAGGCGGCAAACAUCUGAAACCUGUCACAGUUGGCAAUAUAGUUCAGCAAAAUAACCAACCAAUGACACAAGCUGUUUGACAAAGCAUAAGCUAACAACAGGCAUCGAAGAGCUCCCGUUCAUCAAAAGUUCUGUCAAGAUCAAGUAGAUGCCAAAGUGUCAGGAAGCAGGCUCCUCAUAGCAGGUGUUCAUCUUUGGGGAAUACCAGAUGCCUCAGCAACUACCUUUGCGCCGAUAUCCUUAGCUAACUUUUUCCUCAUAAAAGCAAAGAACUUUUUGAAGCACUCAUAGAGAGCACCGCUAGCAUACUUCUUUAGUGCCAUGUACCCUGGAAGUUGAUGAUGUCCCAUCACAGACUGAGUAAACGCAAAGGUUAUCGGUGCAAAAUCUUCAGCACAGGUCAUAGCAGCCGCGACCUCAAGUUUUUCUUCUUCACUUAAAGGCUUCAGGUUAUAAGGCUUUGGCAUUGCGUGAUACUUCCAAGGGUUUGCUUGAAUCUUCCCUGCCAUUGCACUAACUAUUGUAUCAUUGAAUUUAUGCAUAUCCUGUAUGGAUUUCCAGCAGUCCAAAGUCUUCAGCUCUUUUACAACAGCAUGAGUGGUAGUGAUCAGGGCUUUACCAGCAGGAGCUGCUUUGCAUUGGAGAGCGAAAACUUCAGGUGUCGCAUCACGACCAACUUUUCUCUGAAGGACCUUCAUAGGCAUCUCCACACCAAUCCAUUGCAGAGCAGGACCAUAGAGGUCUUUACCUGUCAGGUAAGAUAGAGCAGGACCAACCGAUGAAGAAUCAGCAAACUUCCUUGCUUUGCCUUCAUAUUUAGCUGCAUUGUCAGAAUUCCGUGACCAUGUGCUACCAACCGUUCGGAACGCCAACUCGUGGAGAAAUGGUAGGAAGCAGACAAGCUUCCAAGCAUCAGAAAGGUAUUUCUCAAUGGCUCCCAGGUCAUUGGCAUAAAUUGUUGAAAUAUGAGAUGGGCCUAGAGCCCAUAUGACAAUUUCAGAUUUGAUCUCUAAGGGCCCAUGUAGGUGGCAUGACAAGGUGGUGGGAAGUUUAGUCCCACUCCGGAAGUGGCAGGAGAGUUGGAGUGGUUUAUAAGGGAUUCUCGUCCUCAUGCUAUUGGAGCUUGAGAAGAGAUGUGACCCUCGCACACUCCUCCUCCUCCGCUCGCCUCGUCACGAUGCGCCGCGGGUUGCGGAAUUGAGCCGAGCCGAGCUCACUCCUAUGCGCUUCUUUUUGCCGGUCAGGAACGGAGAGUCUUUGACAGGUGGGGCCACGAUCUCUCUCCACGAGAAGCCGCACAUAUAUAUGUGGGGAGCUGCCAACCCUGGCCGCCACAAAACAGAACGCAUCUCCGCCUCCACGCCCACGUCGUUCCUCUGCUGCUGCUGCCGUCGGCGACUCCGUCCCGUUCACCGCAUACACGGUUGACGGGAGAGCAGGCCUCUGAAACCCCGCUUCUCCGGAUCCUGUACAGGAGAGGGGCGAAAAGGUUUUUGGGUAGCGAUUACGCGACUGCUCGCUUCUGUUCAUCUACGUCCGCAUCACCUUCGUCAUCACCAUGUCGACCGACGCUGACCGUGUCGCCGCUGAGAAGGCCGAGGCCGACAAGAAGGCCGCCGAGGAUGCCGCGGCUGCUGUCACCGCCACCACCGCCGCGUGGCCGAUUGGAGGGUAUACAUCGUUUAUCCCUCUCGUGUUUCUUUCUGUUGUAGCAGUACUAGCGAUAUGCGUAGAUGUUUCUACUAUAUGCGUAGUACAUGCUCUGUUAGAUCGUAAUCAGUGUGUUAUCAAUGAUGUCCAUGUCAUGCUCAUGAUUUAUUCAUGGAUUAAUUUAAUCGAAAAACUUCCUAUUUUCUUAUCAAUCCAAAAACCUAAUUUGUGUAGGAGUUUUUCGAAUUCUGGUUUUGCUGCUGCACUGAAACCGUCCCCGUUUACGGGGACAUGCUUUAAGCGUUGGCAGACUAAAACCACCUUAUGGCUCACGACCAUGAACGUGUGACUCCCACAGGAACGAUCGCUCCUGAAUAGGAGAAGGCGUUCAAGGAGGCCACUGUCGUGUUCCUCGGGGCAGUUCUGAGCGUGAUUGGAGAUAAGUUGGUUGACGCAUAUCUGCAUGUGCGGUCUGCCAAGGACUUGUGGGAGGCGCUCGAAUCUAAGUUCGGGGCUGCCGAUGCAGGGAGCGAGAUGUAUAUUAUAGAGCAGUUCCAUGAUUACAAGAUGGUUGAAAACAGUCCUAUAUUGGAGCAGGCUCAUGAGAUAAUAUGCAUUGUUAAGGAGCUUGAGCUUCUUAAGUGCGAGUUACCGGGCAAGUUUGUCUCGGGCUGCAUAAUCGCUAAGCUUCCCAAUUCCCGGAGGAACUUUGCCACCACUCUGAAACAUCAGAGGCGUGAAUUCUCUGUGGAGGAUGUCAUUGGCCAUCUGAGUGUUGAGCAGAAUUCAAGGGCAAAGGACUCGCACGGAAAAGGGGUCGAAGGAACUUCUGUGGCCAACAUGGUGCAUCAGAAGAACUCCAAUUCCCACAAGCCCAAGGGAAAGAACGGUGUCCAACAGAGUGCCGACUUUAAGAAGAAGGGUAAGAAGACCUUCAAGAAGAACAAGAAGGAUGAGGGCUGCUUUACUUGUGGUUCGCUUGAACAUUGGGCCAACAAGUGCCCAAACAAGUAUAAGAAGCAAGGGCAGGACUCCAAGUCUGUCAAUAUGAUUGUGGGCAACAAUGAGAGUGGUGAAUCUGGGUACGGUAAUUUAUUUGUUGUAUUUUCAAUUCGGCCGUCCACCGAUUGGUGGGUCGACACAGGUGCAGGUGUUCAUGUGUGUGCUAACAUUUCAUUGUUUUCUUCUUACCAGGCCACAGGUCACGGGUCCGUACUGAUGGGGAAUGGCGCGAGUGCUUCUGUUCUUGGUGUUGGCACGGUCGAUCUGAAGUUUACUUCGGUAAGGAUCGUGCAGCUGAAGAACGUGCAUCAUGUCCCUGCCAUCAAGAAGAACCUCGUUAGUGGCUCCCUUCUAUGUAGAGAAGGGUUUAAGUUGGUAUUCGAGUCUAAUAAAUUAGUUGUUACGAAAUAUGGACUAUUUGUUGGAAAGGGUUAUGAAUGCGGAGGCAUGUUCCGCCUUUCUCUUGCAGAUCUAUGUAAUAAAGUCGUGAACAAUAUUCAUUUGAGUGUUAAUGAAUCUGAAGUAUGGCAUUCACGUCUUUGUCACAUUAGUUUCGGUGUUAUGACGCGGCUAGCAAAAUCGAAUUUAAUCCCGAGUUUCACUUUAGACAAAGGUUCUAAGUGCCAUUCGUGUGUGCAAUCUAAGCAACCUCGCAAGCCUCACAAGGCAGCAGAGGAGAGACACUUGGCGCCACUUGAACUCAUACAUUCUGAUCUUUGUGAGAUGAAUGGUGUGUUGACUAAAGGUGAAAAGAAAUAUUUCAUGACUUUGAUAGAUGAUUCCACUAGAUAUUGCUAUGUGUAUCUGUUAAAUACUAAAGAUGAGGCUCUACACUACUUCAAAAUCUAUAAGGCAGAAGUUGAGAAUCAACUUGAAAAGAAAAUUAAACGAGUCUGGUCAGAUCGUGGUGGAGAGUACUUCUCGAAAGAGUUUGAUGCCUUUUGUGCGGAACACGGCAUUAUUCACGAGAGGACGCCUCCUUACUCACCCCAGUCAAAUGGGGUUGCCGAGCGGAAAAACCGUACUCUAACUGGUUUGGUUAACGCCAUGUUAGAUACGUCGGGUUUAUCUAAGGCAUGGUGGGGGGAGGCCAUAAUGACAUCCUGUCAUGUCCUGAAUAAAGUUCCGACAAAGGAUAUCGAGAUCACUCCUUACGAGAAGUGGACCAAGAGAAGGACAACACUCUCGUACUUACGUACCUGGGCUGCUUGGCGAAAGUUAAUGUGCCGAUCCCCAAAAAGCGUAAGCUUGGACCAAAGACUGUGGACUGUGUUAAUUUGGGCUACGCUAUGAAUAGUGUUGGCUAUAGAUUUCUAGUAGUGAAAUCUGAGGUACUUGACAUGAAAGUCGGUACAAUUAUGGAGUCUAAAGAUGCUACAUUCUUUGAGGACAUUUUUCCCAUGAGAGAUGUACAAAGCACUUCUAGACAAGAAUCUGAGGAGACUCCUGAACCUGCCAUUCUGAUGGAAUAUUACAAUCAAACACAUGAUGAAAAUCCUGAGGAGGAUAAUGAGGAAUCCCUUGGUAGGGGCAAGAGACAAAGGACUGUAAAGACCUUUGGUGAUGAUUUCUUCAUAUACCUCGUGGAGGAUAAUCCCACUUCUAUUUCAGAAGCGUAUGCAUCUCCAGAAGCUGACUACUGGAAGGAUGCGGUCCGUAGCGAGAUGGAUUCCAUCAUGGCUAACGGGACUUGGGAGCUUACUGAACGUCCUUAUGGUUGCAAACCAUUGGGAUGCAAGUGGGUGUUCAAGAAGAAGCUUAGGCUCGAUGGUACGAUAGAAAAGUACAAGGCUAGGCUUGCGGCCAAGGGCUACGCCCAGAAAGAAGAAGACGAUUUCUUCGACACUUAUUCACCUGUGGCCAGACUGACCACCAUUCGAGUAUUACUCUCGUUGGCGGCCUCGCAUGGUCUUCUCAUUCAUCAGAUGGAUGUUAAGACGGCUUUCCUGAACGGGGAGUUAAAGGAGGAAAUCUAUAUGCAACAGCCUGAUGGCUUUGUGAUGGAUGGUCAGGAAGGAAAGGUGUGUAAGUUGGUGAAAUCUUUGUAUGGCCUGAGACAAGCGCCUAAGCUAUGGCAUGACAAGUUUAAUGAAACAUUGACAUCUGUUAGCUUUGUUGUUAAUGAGGCUGACAAAUGUGUAUACUAUUGCUAUGGUGGGGGCGAAGGAGUUAUACUGUGUUUGUAUGUUGAUGACAUACUGAUAUUUGGGACUAAUCUCAAGUUGAUCGAGGAGGUUAAGUCUUUCCUAUCUCAGAACUUUGAGAUGAAGGACCUUGGAGUGGCUGAUGUUAUCUUGAACAUCAAGCUAUUGAGAGAUGAUGAGGGUGGGAUUACACUUUUGCAAUCCCAUUAUGUUGAGAAGGUGUUGAGUCGUUUUGGAUAUUCGGACUGCAAACCAUCUCAAACACCAUAUGAUUCUAGUGUGCUGAUUCGAAAGUCUAAAGGCACAGCUAUAGAUCAAUUGAGAUACUCUCAGAUUGUUGGUUCACUAGAGUAUCUAGCAAGCGCAACGAGGCCUGACAUCGCAUUUGCUAUUAGCAAACUGAGUCGAUUUGUUUCCAAACCGGGUGAUGUACAUUGGCGUGCUCUUGAGAGAGUUAUGCGCUAUCUGAAAGGUACUAUGAACUAUGGACUUCACUAUACCGAAUACCCGUCGGUACUUGAAGGGUAUAGUGAUGCGAAUUGGAUCUCUAAUGCUGAUGAGAUGAAGGCCACAACUGGGUAUAUAUUUACUCUUGGAGGUGGUGCUAUUUCCUGGAAGUCUUGCAAGCAAACGAUCUUAACAAGAUCGACAAUGGAAGCAGAAUUAACAGCAUUAGAUACAUCGGGUGGCGAAGCAGAAUGGCUUCGAGAUCUGUUGAUGGACUUGCCAGUGGUUAAGAAGCCGGUUUCGGCCAUCCUUAUGAACUGUGACAAUCAAACAGUUAUUGUCAAGGUGAAGAGUUCAAAGGACAAUAUGAAGUCCAACAAACACAUAAGAAUGAGAUUGAAAGCUGUCAGAAAAUUGAGAAACUCUGGAGUGAUGGCGUUGGAUUAUAUUCAAACGGCUAAGAAUCUGGCAGAUCCCUUUACUAAAGGGCUAUCACGUGUUGUGAUAGAUUACGCAUCAAGGGAGAUGGGUAUGAGACCCACAUGAGUUGCCAUGGUAGUAACCCAACCUAUGUGAUCGGAGAUCCCGUGAAGUAGGACCUGGGAAAACAAGCCAGUGGUGAACUGAGGAGAGUAACUUUACUAACCCACUCCGUUGGAGAUGCAAUACUCUCGGAAAUUGUAUGGGAAGAUGACUACUGUCUUAAUGUGUUCCAAGGCUUAUAUGCAUAAGCAAGAUGCUAUCCUACAGAGCGGUCUUUGGAGGAACACACCUAUAUGAGCCUGACUGCUGGUCAUAGUCUAUGAGAUUGGGGUGAUCUCUAGCAAGCUCAUGAACAGGCCAGGAGUGUGACUAAUAUGCUCCACCCGAGGGGUCGGCCUUCGGCAGCCUCGUAUCAGUGAGACUUGUGGUGAAACUUCUUGACGCCAAACUGACAAUUCAAGGCAUAGUCCAUUGUUCAGUUGUGAAGGAGUGUAACUACUUGGUCUAGGUGGAGCUCAACCUUAAUCGGUCUCCACUGAGAUGCUGGUAUAUCAAAACAGCGUUUGGAACAAAGGACAAACUGGGCCCCUAAGAUCUGGUGGGGGAUAGUUGAAAUAUGAGAUGGGCCUAGAGCCCAUAUGACAAUUUCAGAUUUGAUCUCUAAGGGCCCAUGUAGGUGGCAUGACAAGGUGGUGGGAAGUUUAGUCCCACCCCAGAAGUGGAAGGAGAGUUGGAGUGGUUUAUAAGGGAUUCUCUUCCUCAUGCUAUUGGAGCUUGAGAAGAGAUGAGGCCCUCGCGCACUCUUCCUCCUCCACUCGCCUCGCCACGCCACGCCUUGCCUCGUCACGACGCGCCGCGGGUUGCGGGAUUGAGCCGAGCCGAGCUCACUCCUAUGCGCUUCUUUUUGCCGGUCAGGAACGGAGAGUCUUUGACGGGUGGGGCCAUGAUCUGAGACGUCAGAUCGUGGGCUACCUACUUGGACGUGGGUUCAGCCCACGUCUCUCCACGAGCAGCCGCACAUAUAUAUGUGGGGAGCUGCCGACCCUAGCCGCCAUGAAACAGAACGCAUCUCCGCCUCCACGCCCACGUCGUUCCUCUGCUGCUGCUGCCGCCGGCGACUCCGUCCCGUUCACCACAUACACGGUUGACAGGAGAGCAGGCCUCCGAAACCCCGCUUCUCCGGAUCCUGUACGGGAGAGGGGCGAUUAGGUUUUUGGGUAGCGAUUACGCGACUGCUCGCUUAUGUUCAUCUACGUCCGCAUCACCUUCGUCAUCACCAUGUCGACCGACGCCGAUCGUGCCGCCGCUGAGAAGGCCGAUGCCACAAGAAGGCCGCCGAGGAUGCCGCGGCUGCUGUCACCGCCACCACCGCCGCGUGGCCGAUUGGAGGGUAUACAUCGUUUAUCCUUCCCGUGUUUCUUUCUGUUGUAGCAGUACUAGCGAUAUGCGUAGAUGUUUCUACUAUAUGCGUAGUACAUGCUCUGUUAGAUCGUAAUCAGUGUGUUAUCAAUGUUGUCCAUGUCAUGCUCAUGAUUUAUUCAUGGAUUAAUUUAAUCGAAAAACUGCCUAUUUUCUUAUCAAUCCAAAAACCUAAUUUGUGUAGGAGUUUUUCGAAUUCUGGUUUUGCUGCUGCACUGAAACCGUCCCUGUUUACGGGGACAUACUUUAAGCGUUGGCAGACUAAAACCACCUUAUGUCUCACGGCCAUGAACGUGUGACUCCCACAGGAACGAUCGCCCCUGAACAGGAGAAGGCGUUCAAGGAGGCCACUGUCGUGUUCCUCGGGGCAGUUCUGAGCGUGAUUGGUGAUAAGCUGGUUGACGCAUAUCUGCAUGUGCGGUCUGCCAAGGACUUGUGGGAGGCGCUCGAAUCUAAGUUCGGGGCUGCCGAUGCAGGGAGCGAGAUGUAUAUUAUAGAGCAGUUCCAUGAUUACAAGAUGGUUGAAAACCGUCCUGUAUUGGAGCAGGCUCAUGAGAUAAUAUGCAUUGUUAAGGAGCUUGAGCUUCUUAAGUGCGAGUUACCGGGCAAGUUUGUCGCGGGCUGCAUAAUCGCUAAGCUUCCCAAUUCCCGGAGGAACUUUGCCACCACUCUGAAACAUCAGAGGCGUGAAUUCUCUAUGGAGGAUGUCAUUGGCCAUCUGAGUGUUGAGCAGAAUUCAAGGGCAAAGGACUCGCACAGAAAAGGGGUCGAAGGAACUUCUGUGGCCAACAUGGUGCAUCAGAAGAACUCCAAUUCCCACAAGCCCAAGGGAAAGAACAGUGUCCAACAGAGUGCCGACUUUAAGAAGAAGGGUAAGAAGACCUUCAAGAAGAACAAGAAGGAUGAGGGCUGCUUUACUUGUGGUUCGCUUGAACAUUGGGCCAACAAGUGCCCAAACAAGUAUAAGAAGCAAGGGCAGGACUCCAAGUCUGUCAAUAUGAUUGUGAGCAACAAUGAGAGUGGUGCAUCUGGGUACGGUAAUUUAUUUGUUGUAUUUUCAGUUUGGCCGUCCACCGAUUGGUGGGUCGACACAGGUGCAGGUGUUCAUGUGUGUGCUGACAUUUCAUUGUUUUCUUCUUACCGGGCCACAGGUCACGGGUCCGUACUGAUGGGGAAUGGCGCGAGUGCUUCUGUUCUUGGUGUUGGCACGGUCGAUCUAAAGUUUACUUUGGGAAGGAUCGUGCAGCUGAAGAACGUGCAGCAUGUCCCCGCCAUCAAGAAGAACCUCGUUAGUGGCUCCCUUCUAUGUAGAGAAGGGUUUAAGUUGGUAUUCGAGUCUAAUAAAUUAGUUGUUACGAAAUAUGGACUAUUUGUUGGAAAGGGUUAUGAAUGCGGAGGCAUGUUCCGCCUUUCUCUUGCAGAUCUAUGUAAUAAAGUCGUGAACAAUAUUCAUUUGAGUGUUAAUGAAUCUGAAGUAUGGCAUUCACGUCUUUGUCACAUUAAUUUCGGUGUUAUGACGCGGCUAGCAAAAUCGAAUUUAAUCCCGAGUUUCACUUUAGCCAAAGGUUCUAAGUGCCAUUCGUGUGUGCAAUCUAAGCAACCUCGCAAGCCUCACAAGGCAGCAGAGGAGAGACACUUGGCGCCACUGGAACUCAUACAUUCUGAUCUUUGUGAGAUGAAUGGUGUGUUGACUAAAGGUGGAAAGAAAUAUUUCAUGACUUUGAUAGAUGAUUCCACUAGAUAUUGCUAUGUGUAUCUGUUAAAUACUAAAGAUGAGGCUCUACACUACUUCAAAAUCUAUAAGGCAGAAGUUGAGAAUCAACUUGAAAAGAAAAUUAAACGAGUCCGGUCAGAUCGUGGUGGAGAGUACUUCUCGAAAGAGUUUGAUGCCUUUUGUGCGGAACACAGCAUUAUUCACGAGAGGACGCCUCCUUACUCACCCCAGUGAAACAGGGUUGCCGAGCGGAAAAACCGUAUUCUAACUGAUUUGGUUAACGCCAUGUUAGAUACGUCGGGUUUAUCCAAGGCAUGGUGGGGGGAGGCUAUAAUGACAUCCUGUCAUGUCCUGAAUAAAGUUCCGACAAAGGAUAUCAAGAUCACUCCUUACGAGAAGUGGACCAAGAGAAGGACAACACUAUCGUACUUACGUACCUGGGUGUAACACUCUCGAUGCGACUAUAUCUCCCACGUGUCGAGGAACGACUUAGAGGCAUAAUCGCAUUGAAGGCAUAUGUCGCAAGUUAGGCAAUCUUCACAACAUCCCAUGUAAUAUAGAUAAUAAAAGGGGAGAUAACAUAGUUGGCUUACACUCGCCACGUCAAUCAAGGUACAUAAAUAACAUUACAUUAACCAAACACUCAUGGCCCGACUAUGGCGCCAAAAUAAAAGAUAACCCAACAAGCGACACGGUCCCGAUCACCCCCAACUGGGCACCACUACUGAUCAUCAGGAAAGGAAACAUAGUAUCAUUGAGAGUCUUCGUCGAACUCCCACUUGAGCUCAAGCGCGUCACCUGGAGCGGAAUCAUCAGGCCCUACAUCUGGUGUAAUAGUAAUCUGUGAGCCACAGGGACUCAGCAAUCUCGCACCCUCGCGAUCAAGACUAUUUAAGCUUAUAGGUAAGGCAAGGUAAAUAUGUGGAUCGGCAGCAAGCGACUAGCAAAUAUGGUGGCUAUCCUGUUCGCAAAAGAGAGCGAGAAGAGAAGGCAAAGCGCAAGCGAGAAACUAGAGAACAACCUGCGCAAACAUUACUCCAACACCGUGUCCACUUCCCAGACUCCGCCGAGAAGAGGCCAUCACGGUAACACACUCAGUUGAUUCAUUUUAAUUAAGUUAAGGUUCAAGUUAUCUACAACCGGACAUUAACAAAUUCCCAUCUGCCCAUAACCGCGGGCACGGCUUUCGAAAGUUCAAAUCCCUGCAGGGGAGUCCCAACUCAGCCCAUGACAAGCUCUCAGAGUCAACGAAGGAAUAGACCUCCUCCCAAGACGUUCCGAUCAGACUCGGUAUCUCGGUUCUUCAAGACACUUCGACAGGUUAAAACAAGACCAGCAACACCGCCCGAAUGUGCCGACAAAUCCCGAUAGGAAUUGCACAUAUCUCGUUCUCAGGGCACACUCAGAUGAGAUCUCCAUACAACUAAAACCAAACCUCGAGUUUCCCCGAGGGGGCACUGCACAGGACUCUAGUUUGGACCAACACUCAGAGGAGCACUGGCCCAGGGGGGGCUAAAAUAAGAUGACUCUCGGACUUCGGAAACCCAAUGUAAAAAGAGGCUAGGUGGCAAAUGGUAAAACCAAGGUUGGACAUUGCUGGAAAAGCUUUAAUCAAGACGAACUAUCAAUGGGUUUCCAUUAUAACCCAACCGCGUAAGGAAUGCAAAAUCCGGGAACAUAACACCGAUAUGACGAAAACUAGGGCGGCAAGAGUGGAACAAAACACUAGGCGAGAGGCCGAGCCUUCCACCCUUUACCAAGUAUAUAGAUACAUUAAGAUAACAUGGCAAUAUAAUGGUAUCCCAACAAGUAAAUAAAAGUUCCAACAAGGAACGGUCUCCAAUCUUCACCUGCAACUAGCAACGCUAUAAGAGGGGCUGAGCAAAGCGGUAACAUAGCCAUUCAACGAUUUUCUAGGACAUGGUGGGUUAGAGGUUUGACAUGGCAAUUUGGGAGGCUUGAAAGCAAGUAGUAGGCAUCGUAGCAUUGGCAUAGCAAAAGAGCGAGCAAUCUAGCAUAGCAAAGAUAGUAGUGAUUUCGAGGGUAUGAUCAUCUUGCCUGCAAAGUUGUCAGAGUUGACUGGAUCCUCGAAAGCAAACUCAACGGGCUCCUCGAUAGCGAACUCGUCUCCCGGCUCUACCCAAACAAGACAAACAAGCAAACGGAACACAAUCAACCACGUGCCAAGCUCAAACAAUAUGAUGUAAAGAUGGUAUGCUAUGCGAGAUGCGGUACGGGAUGCAUAUGCAAGAUUUGACAAGGGAUGCAUGAACCUGGCCUCAACUUGGGAAUCCAAGUGUGCCACUGGAAAGAUGAGAUGAAAUCGCUUGAAAACAAUAUAAAGAACGCCGGAAUCGGAGUUACGGUUUGGAAAUGACAAGCGAUUCAAAUAUGACCACGUUCUGCGAUUUACAGUAAGUAGCCAUCUAAAUGCAAUGAGAUGAGCAUGCUACAGCACCCAAACAUGACAACAAAAUACAUGGCAGGGAUACAUUCAUGAUGCUUAACAAAAGUCUAGCACUGAGCUACAGCCAAUUCAUCCAUUAACAGGCUCAAACAAGCAUGGCAAAAAUGCAUAUGGUAAACAGAUUUCAGACAUAGUGAAAUUAACACUUGUCUGGAAUUUCAGAUCAGGUAGCACUCUUCGGAGCAACAAAACUAUAUUCUAAAGGACCUGAACAUGGCAAAGUAAAGCAUGGCAUGGAGCUACUCAAAGAGCUUAACAAAAGUCCCUUGGUGACCUUGAGACAAAAGGGAUCAGAAAAUACAAUUGCAAGCAUGUGAACAUGGCAAAAACAUAAUCAGUUCUCAGACUUAGUGAAAACUGGAGCAUGCUGCAAACAGAUAUCAAGUAGGCAUGUUUACGAGCUCGAUGCACUCACUACAGAGCAAGUCAUGACCAAUUAAGCAUACACCCAUCAAGAAUACACAAAAUACAAGUUAUACAUGGCAAGAACAAUAGCAUAGUAUGCACAGAUCAACUACAACAUCAUCGGCAAAAUCGCUAACAAGUAGACAAUGUGCCCAGAUUCACGAAGUAGCAAAAGUAGAGCUCGAUUGACUCAAGCUAGGGUUCUCCAUAAUUUCAAACAAAGACAUGGAUGGAUAGAGCACUACAAGAUUAACAAAACAUCCUUACUAAUCAUCCUCAAAAGAGACACGGAUCACUAGGAAGCAAUAUGAACAUAUGGCCAUAUGAGAUAAACAGCUCAAGGACUUAGUGGAAAUGCUAAGUCUCUGAAAUCAGCUUUACCAAGUACCUCACUUUGCAAGCUUGUGCUAGUCACCACACACAUCGCAAAAAUACAUGGGUUACACCUCUGGAAAGAUGACAAAACUCUUAACAAAACAUAUGUAGAGCUCAUGGGCAUAUCAUGCACACAAUAAUCAUGGCAAAAAUGACAAAUAUCUAAAUGGAGUAGCAGAUCUGACAAUUAUCUCAAGUAGCCCUCUUCUAACAGCAUUUCGGACAUCAAUAUAAACUCGAAUGAAAAUGAUGCAAUGGAAUGAAAUGACGUACUCUCUGAGAUAAACAUUUUGAUAUGCUAUAUGUCCAAAACGGAGCUACGGAUGCAAAGUUAUGAUGCGAUGAACAUGGCAAGAUAAUUAAGGUUUCGGGGCAAAAAGUCAACCGAAUCUCAGAUCUGGAUCGGGUUUGCACGCGGUUCGAGGAUGGCUGGGGAGCUUGCCGGAGUUCGUCGCCGGACUUGGCAGGCACGCCGGCCGGAGGAGAGGAGGACGACGGGGUGGCGUGGUGCGGCGUCGAGGUGGAGGCGGCGGGCCUCGCGGUGGGCGNNNNNNNNNNNNNNNNNNNNNNNNNNNNNNNNNNNNNNNNNNNNNNNNNNNNNNNNNNNNNNNNNNNNNNNNNNNNNNNNNNNNNNNNNNNNNNNNNNNNNNNNNNNNNNNNNNNNNNNNNNNNNNNNNNNNNNNNNNNNNNNNNNNNNNNNNNNNNNNNNNNNNNNNNNNNNNNNNNNNNNNNNNNNNNNNNNNNNNNNNNNNNNNNNNNNNNNNNNNNNNNNNNNNNNNNNNNNNNNNNNNNNNNNNNNNNNNNNNNNNNNNNNNNNNNNNNNNNNNNNNNNNNNNNNNNNNNNNNNNNNNNNNNNNNNNNNNNNNNNNNNNNNNNNNNNNNNNNNNNNNNNNNNNNNNNNNNNNNNNNNNNNNNNNGGGGCGAAGGCGCGGCGGCGCCGCGAAUCCGGACCGCGGGGGCCGGCGACGGGCUCCCCGGGCCGCGCGGUGGAGGAGGCGGCGGUCCACUCGGGCGGCAACACGUGGCGGUGGCGGCGUGGGUCGGACGUGUCCGGCCCGGCGAAUUUUGUCCGGCGGCGGCGGAUCUGGGAUUUUAGGGUUUCGCCCGGGAUUUCGAAUGGGGGGUCUUUAUAUAGGCAUAAAAGGAGCUAGGAGAGUCCAAAUGAGGUGCGGUUUUCGGCCACGCGAUCGUUGAUCGAACGCUCUAGAUGAUGGAUAGGGUUUAGGUGGGUUUUGGGCCAAAUAGAAGGGGUGUUGGGCUGCAACACACACAAGGCCUUCUCGGUCCCUCGGUUAAUCGUUGGAGUAUCAAACAAAGUCCAAAUGGCACGAAACUUGACAGGCGGUCUACCGGUAGUAAUCCAAGGCCGCUUGGCAAGUCUCUCUCCAAUCCGGAAAUGUUUAAUCCCCACACACGAAAGAAAGGUAGAAAUGACCACCGAAGGAGAACGAAGCGCCGGAAUGCAAAACGGACAACGAGGAAAAUGCUCGAAUGCAUGAGAUGAACACGUAUGCAAAUGCAAUGCACAUGAUGACAUGAUAUGAGAUGCAUGACAACGAUAACAACAUACGGAGACAAAGACCCGAACCCGAGAAAAUAAAAUAACUUAACGCCGGAAACGGCAAGAGUUGGAGUACAAAUUAGGAAAGUCAUAUCCGGGGUGUUACACUGGGCUGCUUGGCGAAAGUUAAUGUGCCGAUCCCCAAAAAGCGUAAGCUUGGACCAAAGACUGUGGACUGUGUUAAUUUGGGCUACGCUAUGAAUAGUGUUGGCUAUAGAUUUCUAGUAGUGAAAUCUGAGGUACUUGACAUGAAAGUCGGUACAAUUAUGGAGUCUAAAGAUGCUACAUUCUUUGAGGACAUUUUUCCCAUGAGAGAUGUACAAAGCACUUCUAGACAGGAAUCUGAGGAGACUCUUGAACCUGCCAUUCUGAUGGAAUAUUACAAUCAAACACAUGAUGAAAAUCCUAAGGAGGAUAAUGAGGAAUCCCUUGGUAGGGGCAAGAGACAAAGGACUGUAAAAACCUUUGGUGAUGAUUUCUUCAUAUACCUCGUGGAGGAUAAUCCCACUUCUAUUUCAGAAGCGUAUGCAUCUCCAGAAGCUGACUACUGGAAGGAUGCGGUCUGUAGCGAGAUGGAUUCCAUCAUGGCUAACGGGACUUGGGAGCUUACUGAACGUCCUUAUGGUUGCAAACCAUUGGGAGGCAAGUGGGUGUUCAAGAAGAAGCUUAGGCCCGAUGGUACGAUAGAAAAGUACAAGGCUAGGCUUGCGGCCAAGGGCUAUGCCCAGAAAGAAGAAGAAGAUUUCUUCGACACUUAUUCACCUGUGGCCAGACUGACCACCAUUCGAGUAUUACUCUCGUUGGCGGCCUCGCAUGGUCUUCUCAUUCAUCAGAUGGAUGUUAAGACAGCUUUCCUGAACGGAGAGCUAAAGGAGGAAAUCUAUAUGCAACAGCCUGAUGGCUUUGUGAUGGAUGGUCAGGAAGGAAAGGUGUGUAAGUUGGUGAAAUCUUUGUAUGGCCUGAGACAAGCGCCUAAGCAAUGGCAUGACAAGUUUAAUGAAACGUUGACAUCUGUUAGCUUUGUUGUUAAUGAGGCUGACAAAUGUGUAUACUAUUGCUAUGGUGGGGGCGAAGGAGUUAUACUGUGUUUGUAUGUUGAUGACAUACUGAUAUUUGGGACUAAUCUCAAGUUGAUCGAGGAGGUUAAGUCUUUCCUAUCUCAGAACUUUGAGAUGAAUGACCUUGGAGUGGCUGAUGUUAUCUUGAACAUCAAGAUAUUGAGAGAUGAUGAGGGUGGGAUUACACUUUUGCAAUCCCAUUAUGUUGAGAAGGUAUUGAGUCGUUUUGGAUAUUCGGAUUGCAAACCAUCUCAAACACCAUAUGAUUCUAGUGUGCUGAUUCAAAAGUCUAAAGGCACAGCUAUAGAUCAAUUGAGAUACUCUCAGAUUGUUGGUUCACUACAGUAUCUAGCGAGCGCAACGAGGCCUGACAUCGCAUUUGCUAUUAGCAAACUGAGUCGAUUUGUUUCCAAACCGGGUGAUGUACACUGGUGUGCUCUUGAGAGAGUUAUGCGCUAUCUGAAAGGUACUAUGAACUAUGGACUUUACUAUAUCGAAUACCCGUCGGUACUUGAAGGGUAUAGUGAUGCGAAUUGGAUCUCUAAUGCUGAUGAGAUGAAGGACACAACUGGGUAUAUAUUUACUCUUGGAGGUGGUGCUGUUUCCUAGAAGUCUUGCAAGCAAACGAUCUUAACAAAAUCGACAAUGGAAGUAGAAUUAAUAGCAUUAGACACAUCGGGUGGCGAAGCAGAAUGGCUUCGAGAUCUGUUGAUGGACUUGCCAGUGGUUAAGAAGCCGGUUCCGACCAUCCUUAUGAACUGUGACAAUCAAACAGUUAUUGUCAAGGUGAAGAGUUCAAAGGACAACAUGAAGUCCAACAAACACAUAAGAAUGAGAUUGAAAGCUGUCAGAAAAUUGAGAAACUCUGGAGUGAUAGCGUUGGAUUAUAUUCAAACGGCUAAGAAUCUGGUAGAUCCCUUUACUAAAGGGCUAUCACGUGUUGUGAUAGAUAACACAUCAAGGGAGAUGGGUAUGAGACCCACAUGAGUUGCCAUGGUAGUAACCCAACCUAUGUGAUCGGAGAUCCCGUGAAGUAGGACCUGGGAAAACAAGCCAGUGGUGAACUGAGGAGAGUAACUUUACUAACCCACUCCGUUGGAGAUGCAAUACUCUCGGAAAUUAUAUGGAAAGAUGACUAUUGUCUUAAUGUGUUCCAAGGCUUAUAUGCAUAAGCAAAAUGCUAUCCUACAGAGCGAUCUUUGGAGGAACACACCUAUAUGAGCCCGACUGCUGGUCACAGCCUAUGAGAUUGGGGUGAUCUCUAGCAAGCUCAUGAACAGGCCAGGAGCGUGACUAAUAUGCUCCACCCGAGGGGUCGGCCUUCGGCAGCCUCGUAUCAGUGAGACUUGUGGUGAAACUUCUUGACGCCAAACUGACAAUUCAAGGCAUAGUCCAUUGUUCAGUUGUGAAGGAGUGUAACUACUUGGUCUAGGUGGAGCUCAACCUUAAUCGGUCUCCACUGAGAUGCUGGUAUAUCAAAACAGCGUUUGGAACAAAGGACAAACUGGGCCCCUGAGAUCUGGUGGGGGAUUGUUGAAAUAUGAGAUGGGCCUAGAGCCCAUAUGACAAUUUCAGAUUUGAUCUCUAAGGGCCCAUGUAGGUGGCAUGACAAGGUGGUGGGAAGUUUAGUCCCACCCCGGAAGUGGAAGGAGAUUUGGAGUGGUUUAUAAGGGAUUCUCUUCCUCAUGCUAUUGGAGCUUGAGAAGAGAUGAGGCCCUCACGCACUCUUCCUCCUCCGCUCGCCUCGCCACGCCACGCCUCGCCUUGUCACGACGCGCCGCGGGUUGCGGGAUUGAGCCGAGCCGAGCUCACUCCUAUGCGCUUUUUUUUGCCGGUCAGGAACUAAGUCUUUGACAGGUGGGGCCAUGAUCUGAGACGUUAGAUCGUGGGCUACCGACUUGGACGUGGGUUCAGCCCACGUCUCUCCACGAGCAGCCGCACAUAUAUAUGUGAGGAGCUGCCAACCCUAGCCGCCACGAAACAGAACGCAUCUCCGCCUCCACGCCCACGUCGUUCCUCUGCUGCUGCUACCGCCGGCGACUCCGUCCCGUUCACCGCGUACACGGUUGACGGGAGAGCAGGCCCCCGAAACCCCGCUUCUCCGGAUCCUGUACGGGAGAGGGACGAUUAGGUUUUUGGGUAGCGAUUACGCGACUACUCGCUUCUGUUCAUCUACGUCCGCAUCACCUUCGUCAUCACCAUGUCGACCGAUGCCGACCGUGCCGCCGCUGAGAAGGCCAAGCCCGACAAGAAGACCGCCGAGGAUGCCGCGGCUGCUGUCACCGCCACCACCGCCGCGUGGCCGAUUGGAGGGUAUACAUCGUUUAUCCCUCUCGUGUUUCUUUCUGUUGUAGCAGUACUAGCAAUAUGCGUAGAUGUUUCUACUAUAUGCGUAGUACAUGCUCUGUUAGAUCGUAAUCAGUGUGUUAUCAAUGCUGUCCAUGUCAUGCUCAUGAUUUAUUCAUGGAUUAAUUUAAUCGAGAAACUGCCUAUUUUCUUAUCAUAAAUCUCAGCUGAGUUCUUCGGAGGCGAACAAAGCCUUGAAUAUUUAUGUCCAUGGUACCAGCCAGCAGAAAAUGCCUGAGCUCGUAGAACCGCCCACUUAAUUUGCCAAGCUGAAGCGCCUGCACUUUAGCCAGGGCGUACACCUGAGAAAGUAGCUUCCGAUCAGGUUUCCAAAAUGCAGACCCUCGGCAAAUGCUAUCAACUGCACAUGGCUCAAAUUGUAUAGUGUCUGGCAUUAGGAAGUACUCUGCUUUCUUCAAUGAACCUAGAGCCAGGCUCUCAGCAUCAUAACAUGGGGCGCCAUUUAUUUCUUCCAAAAUCUCCAUUGCCUCUAGGAAUUCCUCAGUCUGGCACUCCUCAGGGAUAGGUGAAUCUUCUGUGACCCUAAUACCAGCAUCAGUUAUAAAUCCUUGAUAUAAUUCAGGGUGCCUUGUCCUGUAAAUUUCUUCGAUGUCCAACUUGGGCCUUUUAGCAAUCCUUUGCUGGACCGAACUUGAAGCACCAUAAGUUUGUACUUGAUGUCGGAGGGUAGGAUUCUCUGUCAAGCCUUUACAAUUUUUUCUUGGCUCACCGUUGUCAUGGCUUUGAUCAUUGUUUUCGUUUGUUGGUGUGCUGCCAGGUACAUACGGAUCAGCCGCCUUUAACUGCGCUUGUGCCUCGUCUGUGAAAUAUGCCUUGUGAUAUCGCUUCGUGUAUUCAAGCACCGGUGGUGGUAUAGGGUACCCAUGAGCAUUAGCACUAAGCAGCCUUCUGACACACACUUUUCUUGUCUUGGUAAGAUACUCAAGUCCUGCAUUGUUCUCGAGAAUUGUGGAUAGCUCGGGCGCGUUGAUGCACACAGGAACAAUAAUGCUGGACAUCCUGACAAAAAUAAAGAAUCUGAGUUGUCAUUAAAUUAUUAACACGGUAGCCAAGUAAUACACAUAUGUACACCAACUUUUUAUAUAAGCACGAGAACUGCUAUUUGUUCAUUGAAGAAGGGACCAGGGUUGACCACCAAAAACAGUAUUCAUCGACCCAUAUAAAUGGGAAAAAUACAAUAAUAAAGGAUUUGAUUAUUUGUUGGUUACCCAACACCAGAUCUCACUUUUGUUGGAAUGUGCACGAAAACUUUAUUUGCACCUGCCAAUUUCCAGAGCUAAAUAAAGCCCAUCACGUUUAUAUGGUUCUUGUUUGGUGAGAAAUGCUAGUGAAGAUAGCAAAUCAUUUCCCUUUGCCUAACAUCCAUGAAACAAAACCAUUAUACUGUAUUUGGACGAUUGGGGAUUUUUGGCUUCCAGCCACAACUAGAUCGGAACCGAUUUUCUUGAAAACAACAUCUGAAACUGUCAGAAAUAAAUAUGUGGGUGAUCACUUGAAUGGUACUUGCACCUAAGUGUGACCUGCAAAAACAACAGGUUUUGUGCCAAAAUGUUUGCUGUUUUAGCUAUUGAAGCUUUUUUUCACAUGAAAAGAAAAUCAUACAUUCGAGCAUUUAUUCAAGCACAAGCAGGGCGGAGCUGGUACACAAUUGUUGUGUGCCAAUGAACCGAAUGGAAUUCAUAGACUUUUCAUUAAUCCAGUCUUUGUUAUUGCUCAUUCCUGAAAGAUUAUACCGCAAACAAGGAAACUGACCCCAAUGAUCUGAUUCUCUAGCUUCGCCAUCAUGCACCUGUGCGCUUUUUUCUCAAACUUUUAUUUCUCGAACAUGUACCCGAAUGUGUGUCAUUUUGUGUUAGCUGAAAAUGUCAGCAUGAUGCGAAUCGUACAGUUCAAAAGCUAUGCAUCUGAAUUUUCUUAUAAAACGUGUACCUGCCAAAAUUGGUGGAAAAUGUGUUUCGGCUUCUAGAAGAAAAAUUGAGACAUGGGCAAUAUCAAUUAUAGUGUUUACAGAAGUACAGUACAUGGAAAAUACAUGUCCAAUCUUUCAUUUGUACAGUUCGCAACCACACGGUGCACACCGCUUCACCUUGAUGGCUUUCAAACAUGUUCGUCGGCAAUUGAAUGUAGUUAUUCAUGUUCUAGCUAAAUCUAGUAUGAACUCUAGUAGUCUCUGUGUCUUUAAGUGUGUCCCAGACUGUAUUUGGGGUACCUACCAAGUUUGCAGAUCUAUGUUAUUUACCCCAAAAAAAAAAUCUAUGUUAUUUCUAAGAAAAACACGGUGCAGGUAUCCCUCCAAAGAAAAGUUUGCGGAUCUAUGUUUUUUCUAAGAAAAACUAUUUUCUUGUAGGAAAAAAGGUCCACAGAGUCAAUUUUGGAAAUGGACUGUGGACGUGUUUAAUUUCGCUUCCCCUCCCUUUUCGUUGCGCCGAUCUCGCAUCAAAAUUGGUCGGCGGCAGCAACCUUCUCCGGAUGAACGCUCGACUAUGUGGUUUAAUUGGGAACUCGGGAAGAAGAACCAAUUUCACAAAAAGAAAAAAAACACAAAACUGAAACCAAACUGCCAAAGCAACGACGCCAUGCAGGUAUAGCUGCGACCGCGGCCUUUGAAGCGCAUGAGAUGAGAGCAAGGUCAAAGUCGAGGGAUCGAUAGAGGAAACGAACGUAUAGACUCUAGUUAGGGUUCUGGCGGAAGAUUUGAAACCAAGUAAAAUUAAAUGAAGAAAAAAAGAUAGAUGAGCGUACGCCAUCGAUCCUCCUCACCUUUCCGACGGCGGCGCGGAUGGAUCGAUGUCGGAAUUUCCUGCUCCUCCGAUCCGUGACCACCAAUGCAGAACACCGCUGGCCUCCUGCGCCCUCUACUGGCACCGGAGAAGGAGAGUCGUCCACCCUCUGCUACUUCCCGGGGACUGGGAGGAGUAUGUGUGUGUGUGUCAAAGGUGGAUUGAGAUAGAACUACUAGUAGUAUUGAAUGAAGAAGCCGAAGGGACAUUGAGACUAAAAUUGAAGUGAACAGGCAGGAGACUCGUCACCUCCCUCUAGACGGAUACGUGUCGCCCUCUCCCUCCGCAGUUUUCUAAACAGCCCCGUCACGUACACGAGCAUACACAAGUCAGGUCACCUAUCGGAUAGAUGUCAGGUCGUGCCACGUCUCUCGCCUUCACAACCAUUGUAGGAUGUCGUGUCUUGAAAUGCCUACUCGGCUCUUGUACGCCGCGGCCUCGCCAGUCGGCAUGGCUUGUGCACUCGUGCGCUGCACAAUGCACAUGCCCUCUCCUCACACCUUCACUGGCCCGUGAAUCAACCGGCCGGCUCUUUACAUCUGCUCGUGUGGCUCCGGAUGGAAGCAUAAGGGCAACUCCAACGACGCAAACUAUCUGCGCGCGUCCGUUUGAAUCGAAACCGCAACCCAACAUGCCGGCCCAAACGGACGAACGUCCGUUUUUUUUUAGCACGCGAUCCAUUUCUGACUCAAAUUUGGGUUAGGUUUGUGGCAACGCGGAUGCGCGCGGCGCCUGCCCUCUUGUCCCCCUGGCUCACCAAUCGGUGGCACAUUGGUCAUUCUCCCCUUUUCCCAUCAACAACCAACACACCCGGCCACCUAGGCAUCGCCCCCGCCGACCAAUUCCGGCUGGUUGUACGCUGCCCAGGCCGCCGCCCGCACCCACCCCCCAGCAACACGCCGCACUCGACGGUUGGUGGACCGUUUUCGCCGCCAUCGUAGCACCCCCACGUCCAUGCCACCCCCCUCACAAUGACAUCAACGUGGUUCAGCACUCUCCGAUGUUCGCAAGGCUUGCAAAAGGCAGCUGUCCAGAGGUCAAUGUUGAGAUUAAUAGCCACCGCUACAACAAAGAUACUACCUAGCUGAUGGUAUCUCUCCUCAGUGGACUACUCUUGUCAAGACAAUCCCCAACCCGAUAUAUAGUAGAGCAGAGACAGAGAUUUGCCCAAGCAAGUGCUAGAAAGUACUCCCUCUGUAAGGAAAUAUAAAGGGGGUUGUAGAUCACUAAAGUAGUGAUCUAAAUGCUCUUAUAUUUCUUUACGAGGGGAGUAAAAAGGAUGUGGAGUGUGCUUUUGGUGUUCUUCAAUCUCGAUGGACCAUCGUUCGGUAUCCUGCUAAAACUCAAAGCACGAAGAAGUUGUGAGAGGUGAUGACUGCUUGUGUGAUCAUGCAUAACAUGAUCAUAAAGGAUGAGCGUGAGGAUGAAAUCUUCGAUCAGGGGUUCCAAUUUCAAGGUGAAAAUGUUGUGCCUGAGCAUGGAGGAGGGACAACGUUUGACAGUUCACUAAAUUUCACUCAUCAAAUGCGUGAUUGGCCAACUCACAUUCAACUACAAGAUGAUUUGAUUGAGUAUAUGUGGGCUCAACUUGCAACCAAAUAGAUGUAUUUGUGACAAAAAAAAUUGGUUUGUAAACUAGUAUGUGAUUUUUUUGUUGUAAUACUAUGAUAUGUGUACUUGGUUGAAUUAUGCGGAACUUUGGGCAAUGUUUUUGAUAUGUAUACAAGAAAAAGCAAAAACAUGGUCACAUACCGGCCACGCGGACGAAAAUGCAUCGGCGCGUUGGGCGCACUGGCCACUGACACCGCCAAAAAUGCUGACUCAAAUGGACAAAAACAGACAAAAUCCACAUAUGUUUGCGUUGGCGCGUUGAAGUUGCCUAAGCCUCAUUUGUAGUAUUUCCUUGGCCAGCACGUCUUCCACCAUUCUUUUAGUUACUUGUCCAGCAAGCCGUAUGGUCAAUAAGCAUGUCAAGAGGGAGUGUCAAAGCAAAAAGGUGACUAUUUUUUUUCCGAAAGGGGGAUUGUUCGUGGCCUCUGCAUUAAAAUGAUGUAUGCGAUCAUAUUAUUAACCAGAAUACCCAUUAAAUGCGAAGUACGAUACAAUAACUCAACAUGAGUUUAAAAGAAAAACACACUAACACAAUCGGCAAAAAUAGGACUAACUGAUCAUACUAGAGGAUAUUCCGCGUGUUGCUGUGGAAUUGGUUGAUUGCAGUGGCACACAUCAUAUCAGGCAAUCUAGCAAGCUUGACCAACAGUUUCAAAUAAGAAUUUAGAGGAUCUACCUAAUGACGGCAGUAGGUAGACUGUAGCGGCUUGCUGGAACCCACGUUACUAAAUUCAACAGAACGUGAUGGCAGCAGGCGGACAUAAAACAUGGAAAUUGAGAUCAGACCUGGGAGUUGGGAUAUAGAGAUGCAUAUGUGCAGCAUGCAAAUCGAACUCGAGAUGCAUAUGUGCAACAUUUUCAUGAUCACCACAUCUGUGUCAUGAGGAGUGAACAAAAAUAAAUUGAAGGAUUUGAAUCUCAAUGAAUGACAGGAACAAAUAAUUAACUUCGAAAUAAAACCAACGGACCACUCAUGAAAAUGCAUUUGCUAGAAACCUCGAGCAAGGAGACAUUAUAUUUUUACACUGAUUCGAUAGAUAUGAUCCAAUCAGCCAACAUUAGAACUACCAAGCCUCGGUUCUCGCCUGAAAUGAGUAGGUAGGUUGGUCCAUACGUGAUGCCCUUGGGCCUUGGCGCUGCCAUCAUCGUCCUAUAGGAACCUACAGGAUAGACUUGUGUCGCAUGAGCUCUUCGUUGUGUGCUCUUCUGGGUCGCUAGAUGGAAACCAUAUAUAGAAGCGAGUGUGUAUACUACUGUAAAAGGGAGUAACAGGACUUCGUAUUAUCAUCACAGAAUAAAAGAACUGAAAUAAAUCUAAACUCUCAACCUCUCGUUCUCUCUCUGCGACGCAACCCCAAUUUCUUGUGAUUCACAACUUCUUUUUUAGCUGUAUUCUUGGGGAAAUCAGAUGACGGGGUUGGGCACGUCUAGGCCGGCACCCUCCCGAACCAUGUGCUGCUCAUCUUGUCGACGAAUCUGAGGCCUUACCCGGCGGCCGGCGCCGCACCAGCGAGGCUGAAAAGAAAGCCGUGUCCAGAGUCCAAUCUCCAAAGAGGCCGAUCUGAUUCCCGUGGAACUGAACUAACAGAAAUAGUCGGUCGGUUGAGAUUUGACAGGAGGGGGUGAGAGAGACGAUAUAGGGAGAUGAGAAGACUUGGUCAGAAUUUUUUUUGGAGGAAAUCGAUGGAGAUUUAUUCCCGAGAUGAAGGAACCUAAUCGUCUGAGUAUUAAUGAAAGCAGUUUCCUUUUUUACAUCCCGUGUACUCCGCGGAGUAAAUAGCUAGCUAGAUAUAUUUUACGAUUUUAUAUUGAUGGCUUUCCGUGGAAACGGCUGCAUGCACGUAUUAAUUGUUGCUUGGGCAUCGCUGGCGAUGGACGUUGCAUGCAGAGUCUAGCGACAAACGUUUUCUUUUUGCUAAUUAUUAUAUUGCACCCCGGAAUCUACCGAAGAUCACGCUCACGGUAGCGCAUGUCACACCGACCGAAGACUUUGAUUGGCAGAGAACUGAUGACAUGGCAUGUUGAUGUGGACACCUUGCAUGUCAAGAGAAAUCAAGUAGUGGGGUGCUUCUAUUUAGAUAUAGUAGAUGAGUUAUAGAAUGGAAAGAAAUCCAUUAUGUUAUAUCUCAAAGUUUGAGGUAAUGAUAAUUAUGUAAAAUGUUUAGAACAAAUCUUGACCCUAAAAGCAGACAAGUGUUAUUUUGUAGGAUAUCCAAAAUAGCAAUGGGGUAUUCCUUCUACCUAAAGUCCGAUAACAAAAUGUUUGUCGGAACAAAUGCACACUUUCUCAGAAAGGAGUUUUCGUUAAAGAAUUAAGUGGGAUGACAUCACAGCUUGAUGAGAUUAUUGAAUCUCUGGCAAAAGUAAAAUGGAUUGACUGAUCAAAAUUUGUUUCAGAAAUCUAUAAUACAUAAAUAGUUGAUCCCCACUACUUCUAAUUCUUUCAACAUGCAAACCAUCCACCUCACCAAGUAUGCCACGUCAGCAUCCACUAACAAUAUUUUUUAGCCCCUGCAAAUCUUAUUUCAUUAUCACUAAUUCUCUCAAUAUGCAAGCAUCCCACUUCACCAUACACUAACAUUUUUUCCAGCCCACGCAAACCAUUACAAUAUGUUUAUUUUUGUCACUGGACAUAUAUAGUAGAUUAGAUAAUUAUUUAAUUUAUUUACUUCCUAAAGGUUGUGAAAUGUCAUGUUUUACACAGAAUGCAAGUAUGGAAUAUCUAUAUGUUAAAUUUAGAGCUUUUGAAAUAUAUGUCAUAUGUAACUAAUCUUUAUAUAUUCCCGCGGCAACGCACGGGGAAAUUUACUAGUUGUCCAUAUAGCUGAAUCAGAAAUUACUACAUCAUUGUGUAAAUUCUAGUUAAUGUUGCAACUGAACCACAUAGGACAGGAAGAGUUAGUGAACCUCCUGAAUAAUUUCAUAAUGAAAUAUUCAUCUUAGAGGAAGAUAAAAAACUGCGCACUACAGAGGAAGCGAUGACGGCGCCCAACUAAAAAACGGCUCAAAACUAUGAAAUCAUAAAUAGAGCCCAUAUACGAGCAUCAAGUUUUGAACUUGAUUAAACCUCUAAAGGGUGUGAUACCUACUCAAAUGUAAAUGAAUCUUCAAAAUAAAAUGGAUAUGGAUGGUGAUCUUAUCUUACAUUUUUAAGAAGUUGAUCCCCACUACUACCUAUUCUCUCAACAUGCAGCCCAUCCACAUCAUCAUCUAGCCACCUCAGCAAAUUUCACCCAUGUCACAUCAUAUCUUUGUUAUUUUUUCUUCUCCAUGUUCACGUAGCAUCGCUUGCUAGCAUAUCCCCCCGAAGGUUUUUUACCAGCGCAUUGCUUCCUUUGUUCUUCAGGCCACCAUCCACUAUGUACUUCCAUUUAAUUCGUAGAAGGUUCAUUUCCAAAGCUCAAUCUCUCUCUGUAAUAAAAGGAUAGUUUCUCGCUCGCUUAGGAAAAUGUUUAGUAUUCUGGUGAGAAUCACUCCUGUUCGCUGUUUUUUGUUUCAACCGUGAGGAGGCGCAACCGUUUGUAACCGAGGGGCACGACCUUCCUUGGGAACCCGUCGUUUCCCUUCCCCGCCAGGUGGCCACACAACUCGACGUCUACUUCAACCAGCCACAACUUGGUGUUCCUCUGCCGCUAGGGCUUUUUUUUGCGGGGUAAAAAGGGAUUUCAUUGCUUAGUCGAUUACAAGUUCGUUCCUACAAAGCAUAGGAACUUCUGCAGGUCCAGAGCGCAAUCAUACUCCAGUACGGCCCUCGACACGGCCAAAUGCAGCUAGGUAGUGACUAACAGCGUUCUGACUCCUACUUACAUGAGCAAUAGUUACAUCCCUUUCACCAAAGAAACUCUUAACAUCAUUGACUAUCAUCACAUGCGGCGAUCUAUCUAUAGAAGGUGAUUUGAUUAAUUUGACUGCCUCCAUGCAGUCCAUCUCAAUGUCCACCGGCAGGGUAGACCAUUGGAGAGCAAGGUUCAGACCCUCCUGGCAGGCAAGAAGCUCGGCUUGAAGUGCCCCAUAGCAGUGCAUGAUGGAACGACAUGCAGAGAAGAUGAUGUUACCCUCGCUAUCUCGGAGAAUCAUUCCCGCUCCCGCUUCUCCAGUGGCUUGAAUAUACGAACCAUCAACACUGAGCUUUACUCGGCCAACAGAGGAGGAUCCCAACACACUGUAGGAGGUGGCGGUGCUGGGGUAUGUGUUGUGGACGACUUGCACCCAACAUGCAACAGGACCAUCUUCCCUUUUAUCACGUCACCAACCGUAAAUUGUUGUAUGCAUUGGAGAGAUUCCUCAUAGAUGACGAGAAAGCGUAGAGAUGCUUCAACAGGGGGAGGCGGUUUAUUAUGGACAACCUCAUUCCGGACAUGCCAGCUUCUCCAUAGCACCAUGAGCACAUGCCUGCGUUCAUCAUCUUGUAGCUCGUGCAGCAGAUCAAAGAGCCACUCAGGUCCUGUGUUCCUCCUUGCCCUGAUGUCCGGAAGCUGCCAUCGCUCCGCCAUGGCCUGCCAUAGGGCCACAGCCCUUGGACACCUACAGAAAGUGUGGAACGUGUCCUCCGGUUCCGUCGCACACAACGGGCAAAGGUCAGAUGGCUCAAUAUUGCGUGUAUGCUUGUUCACCCAAGUAGCAAGAGAAUUCGAGGCCAAACGCCAUGAAAAUAUACGGACCUUUGGUGGAGUAGGGCACCUCCAUAUAAGUGCCCAGACGGCACGUCGCCCGUCCGGUGCCCUGCUCGCUGCGACUGUAGUCUGACGAUGGGAGUCGUCGUAGGCAAGGCAGUAAGCGCUCCGGACCGUAAUGCAGUAUGGUUGCGCUCUGCCGCUAGGGAUUUUUUUUGCAGGGUAAAAAGGGAUUUCAUUGCUUAGUCGAUUACAAGUUCGUUCCUACAAAGCAUAGGAACUUCUGCAGGUCCAGAGCGCAACCAUACUGCAGUACGGCCCUCGACACGGCCAAACGCUCCGGCGCCCAUGCGAUGAUGUCAUUGCCGAGGCGAGUCGAUGUCUUGAUCUUCAAAAUUUCCGAAACAUCAACGGGUAAAAAGUAUCGAUUGAGCAGCCGAACACUCCAGUUGCCGUGCUCGUCCAAGAGCUCACUAACCCGUCAUAGGCGGCACCGACCUUGAGGAGAGACCGGUGUUCUCGCGAGGGGGUGCGGAAUCCACUGAUCCCGCCAUAUGCGUACAGACGUGCCAUCCCCUAUGCGCCAGAUAAUGCCCUUCUUGAGCAGCUCAAUACCAUGGACGAUGGACUCCCAUGUCUGCGACGAGUUGCCCGAGAAGACCGUGUCCUCUAGUCGCCCUUCGGGAUAGUAUCGGGCCUUUAGUACCUGCGCACACAAACUCUCGGGAUUAGCAAUAAGACGCCAUGCCUGUCGUGCCAGCAGUGCCUGGUUGAAGAUUCUGAAGUCGCGAAAUCCCAUGCCACGAUGGGUUUUAGGUUUGAUCAGAGUAUCCCACGCAUGCCAAUGUGUCUUCCUCUUCCCCUCCUUGGCUCCCCACCAAAAGUUCCGGACCAUACGUGUGAGAUCAUCGCAUACACUCCGUGGUAGGCGGAAGACUCCCAUUAGAUAAGUUGGGAGGGACUGUGCGACAGCCUUGAUGAGGAUUUCUCGGCCCCCCUGCGACACCGCUUCCCCCCAUUGUAGGAUACGUUUAGUGAGUUGCUCUUGCAGGUUGUGGAACUUGCCCUUUGACAUUCUCCCCGAAGGCGUCGGGAGACCGAGAUAUUUCUCUUCAAAUCCCACGUUCUGGACGUGGAGCGCCUGCAUGACUUCCUGCUGAUCAGUGUCCCUGCACUUAGGUCCAAAAAGAAUAGAGCACUUCGCCGGGUUGAUGAAUUGUCCCGUGGUGCGUUCAUAGGUUGCAAGUGCAUCCCUCACCUGCAAUGCUUCCUCCCGUGUAGCACGGAAAAAUAGGAUAGUGUCAUCUGCAAAUAGAAGAUGAGAUAUACCAGGGGCUCGCAGACACACGUGCAAGGGCGAGAUCAUCCGGUUAGCAACCUUCUGUUUAAAAAUAGCAUCAAGACCAUCCGCCACAAAGCAAAAACAGGAACGGAGAUAAAGGGUCUCCCUGCCGUAGCCCGCGCGACGGUGCAAACGAAUCCGAGUGGGCUCCAUUUAAUUUAACAUUGUAACUCACCGUGGUAACACACGCCAUGAUCCACUGUACCCACCGGUGAUGAAAGCCCAACUUUGCAUCAUUCGCUUCAGGAAUUGCCAAUCCACCCUGUCGUAUGCCUUGGGUAGGUCCAACUUAUAUGCACAAAAACUUUUAUCCUGGUUUGUUUCAUGUUUAAUGGUAUGAAGGCACUCGAACGCAAUAAAAGCAUUAUCUGUUAUGAGUCUACCUGGAACAAAAGCACUCUGCUCAGGAGAAAUUAUACCAUCCAGGAGGGGUCUCAAGCGGUUAACCAAGCACUUGGAGAUGACCUUGUAUAUAACAUUACAUAGGCUGAUCGUUCGGAACUCAGUGAGGCGUUUGGGAUCAUCAACCUUCGGUAUCAGCACAAUCGUCGUGGUAUUCACCUCAUCAGCUGGCAUACACCCGGUCUCAAAAAAAUAACCGAACAGCCCCCAUCACCUCCUCCUUCAUUACCGCCCAAUUACGCUGAAAGAACCUGGCCGAGAAUCCAUCUGGACCUGGGGCUUUUAGAAGGCCUAUUUGAAAAAGUGCAUCUCCAAUUUCUUUAUCAGUAAAAGGAGCACAUAAUUUAAGGUUCAUAUCAUCUGUUACCUUAGGCUGGAAGAGCCUCACUACCUCUUGUGGAUCAAUGUGUGGGUCUGCCGUGAAUAAAUGCAUGAAAUAGGAGCGAGCCAUAUCCAACAUGUACUUCUGAUUUGUGUGCCACACAUCAUUAUUAUCCAUCAAGCCCUUCACCACAUUCUUCCUAGCACGCCACACUGCUUUUCCAUGAUUUUUUUUCUAUUUCUGUCUCCCUCCUUGAGCCAAGCUAUGCGCGAGCGUUGAAGCCACAUCAUCUCCUCCCUGAAUAAAAGUUCAUUCAUUUCGUCCAUUUGUUUCCUGAUUUCUGCCCUAUCCGCAUUCAUAUGCAUGAGCUCCUCAAGCCUGGACCUCGACUUCUCUAGCUGUCGUGUGACGUUGCCAAACUUUUUAUUACUCCAGGCAUGGAGUUUGCCCAUAACUUGGCUGAGAGCCUUUUGCACGUCGCCCAAAUUCUGCUUGACACCAUCCUCGCCCCAAGCCGCAGCAAUAACUUCCCCAAGAGCCUAAUCCCUUUCCCACAUCAACUCAUACCUGCGACAUCGAGCUGGGCAGGGCGCCGUGUCCGGUGUACAGCAAACCAACACCGGGCAAUGGUCUGAUGCAGGAGACACAAGGUGAUGCACAACCACCUCAGCAAAAAGAUCCCUCCAAGAAUUUGUUGCAACUGCACGGUCCAACCUCACCUGAACAUUUGCCCUUCCUCCUCUUCUGUUGUCUAAAGUAAAGGGGUAACCCCGAAAACCCAAGUCAACCAGGCCGCAAGUCUCAAGUGCAUCUGAAUAUUAGCAUUUGUCCCGACGCCCACGGAGUUUCAGACAUGUGUUCGUACUCCCACAUAGCUUCAUUAAAAUCACCUACUAACAUCCAUGGCAGCGUACUUUGGGCAAGAAGCCUUCUAAUUGAGUCCCACAUCAAAUGCAUGGUCUCGAUGCGUGGCUCAUCAUACACAAAAGUAAUGCGCCACAAUGGAUCAUUUGGGGACAACCACACAUGAGCAUCAACCCAUCUCUUAUUUGCUUCUUUGACAUCCACUAUUACAGACUCAUGCCAAAACAAAGCGAGCCCACCGCUACGACCAUCACUACUGACUCCUUCAAAUCCGGCCAAACCUAAACGAGAGCGCAGCCGAUACAUCUUUUCCUUUGUUUGUCUAGUUUCACACAAGAACACCAAUUUUGGGGAGUGAGCACCCACAAGUGCUACAAGAUCACGAACUGUGCGAAGGUUCCCCGCCCCUCGACAGUUCCAACUUAAGCAAUUCAUUGCUCCUGACGGGGCGCCACACUUGGCUCCGUCAGUUUACCAGCGGCCCCUGGGUCGGUUGCCUCCUUGUCCGCCGAACACUCCACAGUACUGAUCACCUCCUUCAUUGGCUCCUCCAUAUGCAGUACAGGAUGCACUUGGGCAGCACGUCCCUUGUACAGGAUGCAGGGUUACCAGGUCCAAAAAACAAAAAAACGUUCCAAAUGAGAGGUCUCAUUUGGAACUGCAGAAGGGUAGGCAAGAAAGGAAUGGCCACCUGACUCUCUGAUUUAAUUAGUGACCAUUCCCUUGAUUUCCUGGGUCUUCAGGAAACCAUGAAGAAAAACUUCUCCCCUAAAUGCUUGAGAAAAAUUGACCCUCUUAGUAUCUUUGAGUGGGUCUGGAUCCCCUCAUGUGGCAAAUCAGGUGGUAUCAUUGCGGGGGCUAGAAAAGACAUUUUGGACUUGAGUUCUAACAAGAAAGGCAAGUUCAUGCUCCAGCUUGAUCUUAUAGAUAGGAAAAAUAAAACUGAAUGGAGUAUUCUAAUGGUAUAUGGCCCAGCUCAUGAAGAGAGGAGGGAGGAGUUCCUGCUGGAACUUGCUCAAUUCUGUUCUGAUAUGAACAAACCCUACAUAGUUGGGGGAGACUUUAACAUCUUGAGGCAUGGUGGAGAAAAGAAUAAAAAAGCACAUGGUCAUAAAUCUAUGGACAUGUUCAACUCUAUAAUUAAUGCAUAUGGACCGAGGGAAAUUUAUUGUAGUGGAGGGAAAUAUACUUGGACAAAUAACCAGACCCACCCCACUUUGGAAAAGCUAGACAGGAUUUUGAUGUCUAGUGACUGGGAAAAUCUAUACCCUUUGGGUAACUGUUAGAAAGCUGGUUAGAGAGUUAUCUGACCAUAACCCCCUACUCCUUUCCUCAGGAGAAAUGGGCAGGGAGGCUCAUAAACCCAGGGAAUUCGGGUUUGAUUUGGCCUGGUUAAAAAAUGAGGACUUUCUACCCUUAGUGGAGAAAAUCUGGAGUAGAGCGGUUAAAGCUGAAGAUCCUAUUGAUAUUCUUAAUAUCAAACUAAAAAGGUUUAAAACCUUCUUCAAAGGGUGGGGGUCCAAUAAGUACGGAUAUUCCAAGAAAAGAAAAGAAGAAUUAAGGGUAGAAUUGUCCACUCUUGAGGAGCUUGAAGAGGAGGGACCUCUGACCCCUGAGAUGUAUAGUAGAAAGGUGGAUAUUAAUUUUGAACUUCAUGAGAUUCUGGUGAAUGAGGAGAUUUUCUGGCUGCAACAAUCCCAUGAGCGUUGGCUGCUCAAAGGGGAUUUGAACACUGAUUACUUUCAUAAAAUUGCAAACGGGCGAAAAAGGAAGAAUACUAUUCAUUCCCUCAAGUGUGGUGAUGUUGAGAUAGAAGGUACUGAUAACCUUAUCUCACAUGCCACAGAAUUCUAUAAAACCCUUUUCGGCCCAGCCCCAGGCAACUUGUUUCACAUGGACCCUGGCUCGUGGGAUGAGUCUGAAAAACUCACCCACGAGGAUAACGCUGUGUUGGAAAUAUGCUCUAGAGGCAAUAACAAAUUAGUUAUUAUUAUAUUUCCUUGUUCAUGAUAAUUGUUUAUUAUCCAUGCUAUAAUUGUAUUGAUAGGAAACCCAGAUACAUGUGUGGAUACAUAGACAACACCAUGUCCCUAGUAAGCCUCUAGUUGACUAGCUCGUUGAUCAAUAGAUGGUUACGGUUUCCUGACCAUGGACAUUGGAUGUCGUUGAUAACGGGAUCACAUCAUUAGGAGAAUCAUAUGAUGGACAAGACCCAAUCCUAAGCCUAGCACAAAGAUCGUGUAGUUCGUAUGCUAAAGCUUUUCUAAUGUCAAGUAUCAUUUCCUUAGACCAUGAGAUUGUGCAACUCCCGGAUACCGUAGGAAUGCUUUGGGUGUGCCAAACGUCACAACGUAACUGGGUGGCUAUAAAGGUACACUACGGGUAUCUCCGAAAGUGUCUGUUGGGUUGGCACGAAUCGAGACUGGGAUUUGUCACUCCGUGUGACGGAGAGGUAUCUCUAGGCCCACUCGGUAGACAUCAUCAUAUGCGCAAUGUGACCAAGGAGUUGAUCACGGGAUGAUGUGUUACGGAACGAGUAAAGAGACUUGCCGGUAACGAGAUUGAACAAGGUAUCGGAUACCGACGAUCGAAUCUCGGGCAAGUACAAUACCGCUAGACAAAGGGAAUUGAAUACGGGAUUGAUUAAAUCCUCGACAUCGUGGUUCAUCCGAUGAGAUCAUCGUGGAACAUGUGGGAGCCAACAUGGGUAUCCAGAUCCCGCUGUUGGUUAUUGGCCGGAGAGUUUUCUCGGUCAUGUCUGCAUGGUUCCCGAACCCGUAGGGUCUACACACUUAAGGUUCGGUGACGGUAGAGUUGUUAUGGGAAAUAGUAUGUGGUUACCGAAGGUUGUUCGGAGUCCCGGAUGAGAUCCCGGACAUGAUGAGGAGCUCCGGAAUGGUCCGGAGGUGAAGAUCGGUAUAUCGGACGAAGGGUAUUGGAGUCCGGAAUUGUUCCGGGUGUACCAGGUGAUGACCAGCGUGUCCGAAAGGGGUUUCGGAGGACCCGGCAAGCGUUGGGGGGCCUUAUGGGCCAAGGGGAGAGGGCACAUCAGCCCACUAAGGGGCUGAGCGCCCCUCCCACCCCAUCUCACGUAACCAGGAGAGGUGGGGGUGCCACCCCUAGGGCAGCCGCCCCUCCCAGCUUGGGGGGCAAGUUUCCUUAGGGGUGGGGGCGCCCAAACCCAUCUAGGGUUUCCCCUGUGGCCGCCGCCCCUCCCCUAGGGAACCCUAGGGCGCCUCCCCCUCCUCCCUUCCCCCUAUAUAUUGUGAGGGAGAGAGAGGGCAGCCACACCCUUCCCCUAGCGCAGUCCUCUCCCUCCUCCAACACCUCGUCCUCCUCCGUAGUGCUUGACGAAGCCCUGCCAGAGAACCACGAGCUCCAUCACCACCAUGCCGUCGUGCUGUCGGAGUUUUCCCUCAACUUCUCCUCUCCCCUUGCUGGAUCAAGAAGGAGGAGACGUCCCCGGGCUGUAUGUGUGUUGAACGCGGAGGUGCUAUCCGUUCGGCACUAGGAUCAUUGGUGAUUUGGAUCACGACGAGUACGACUCCAUCAACCCCGUUCACUUGAACGCUUCCGCUUAGCGAUCUACAAGGGUAUGCAGAUGCACUCUCCUUCCCUCGUUGCUAGAUUACUCCAUAGAUUGAUCUUGGUGAUGCGUAGAAAAUUUUGAAUUUCUGCUACGAUCCCCAACAGUGGCAUCAUGAGCUAGGUCUAUGCGUAGUUUCUAUGCACGAAUAGAACACAAAGUAGUUGUGGGCGUCGAUUUUGUCAAUUUACUUGCCGUUCCUAGUCUUAUCUUGAUUCGGCGGCAUUGUGGGAUGAAGCGGCCCGGACCAACCUUACACGUAUGCUUACGUGAGACCGGUUCCACCGACUGACAUGCACUAGUUGCAUAAGGUGGCUGGCGGGUGUCUGUCUCUCCCACUUUAGUCGGAUCGGAUUCGAUGAACAUGGUCCUUAUGAAGGGUAAAUAGAAAUUGGCAAUUCACGUUGUGGUUUUGGCGUAGGUAAGAAACGUUCUUGCUAGCAACCUAUAGCAGCCACGUAAAAACUUGCAACAACAAUUAGAGGACGUCUAACUUGUUUUUGCAGCAAGUUUUUUGUGAUGUGAUGUGGCCAAAGGAUGUGAUGUAUGAGAUCAUCAUGUUCUUGUAAUAGGAAUCACGACUUGCAUGUCGAUGAAUAUGAUAACCGGCCGGAGCUAUAGGAGUUGUCUUAAUUUAUUUAUGACCUGCGUGUCAACAUAAACGUCAUGUAAUUACUUUACUUUAUUGCUAACCGUUAGCUGUAGUAGUAGAAGUACUAGUUGGCGAGACAACUUCAUGAAGACACAAUGAUGGAGAUCAUGGUGUCAUGCCGGUGACGAUGAUGAUCAUGGAGCCCCGAAGAUGGAGAUCAAAAGGAGCAAAGUGAUGAUGGCCAUAUCAUGUCACUAUUUGAUUGCAUGUGACGUUUAUCAUGUUUUUACAUCUUAUUUGCUUAGAACGACGGUAGCUUAAAUAAGAUGAUCCCUCACUAAAAUUUCAAGAAAAGUGUUCUCCCUAACUGUGCACCAUUGCGAAGGUUCGUCGUUUCGAAGCACCACGUGAUGAUCGAGUGUGAUAGAUUCUUACGUUCGAAUACAACGGGUGUUGACGAGCCUAGCAUGUACAGACAUGCCUCGGAACACAUGCGAAACACUUAGGUUAACUUGACGAGCCUAGCAUGUACAGACAUGGCCUCGGAACACGGAGGACCGAAAGGUCGAACAUGAGUCGUAUAGAAGAUGUGAUCAACAUGAGAUGUUCACCGAUGAUGACUAGUCCGUCUCACGUGAUGACCAGACACGGCCUAGUCGAUUCGGAUCAUGUAUCACUUAGAUGACUAGAGGGAUGUCUAUCUGAGUGGGAGUUCAUGAAAUAAUCAGAUGAACUCAAUUAUCAUGAACAUAGUCAAAAGGACUUUGCAAAUUAUGUCGUAGCUCGCGCUUUAGUUCUACUGUUUUAGAUAUGUUCCUAGAGAAAAUUUAGUUGAAAGUUGAUAGUAGCAAUUAUGCGGACUGGAUCCGUAAACAGAGUAUUGUCCUCAUUGCUGCGCAGAAGGAUUAUGUCCUUAAUGCACCGCUCAGUGAGCUGACCCUCGAAUGUCGGUUGUGGAUGUUGCGAACAUCUGACAUACACGUUUUGAUGGCUACAUGAUAGUUCAGUGCGUAAUGCUAAAUGGUUUAGAAUUGAGGCACCAAAGACGUUUUUGAAACAUCGCAGAACAUAUGAGAUGUUCCAAGGACUGAAAUUGGGAUUUCAGGCUAGUGCCCACGUCAAGAGGUAUGAGACCUUUGACAAGUUUCCUAAGCCUGCAAACUAAGGAGAAAAGCUCAAUCAUUGAGCAUGUGCUCAGAUUGUAUGAGUGCUACUAUCGCUUGAAUCGAGUGGGAGUUAAUCUUCCAGAUGAGAUAGUGAUGGUUCUCCAAAGUCACUGUCACCAAGCUACUGGAGCUUCGUGAUGAACUAUAACAUAACAGGGAUAGAUAUGAUCCUUGAGCUAUUCGCGACACCGCAAAAGUAGAAAUCAAAAGGGAGCAUCAAUUGUUGAUGGUUAGUAAAACCACUAGUUUCAAGAAAGGCAAGGGCAAGAAAGGGAUACUUCAUGAAACAACAAAUCAGUUGCUGCUCUAGUGAAGAAACCCAAAGUUGAACCCAAGCCCGAGACUAAGUGCUUCUGUAAUAAGGGGAACGGUCACUGAAGCAGAACCACCCUAGAUACUUGGUAGAUGAGAAGGCUGACAAGGUUGACAGAAGUAUGUAUUGGACAUAUAUUAAAUGUGUACUUUACUAGUACUCCUAGUAGCAGCAGGGUAUUAGAUACCGGUUCGGUUGCUAAGUGUUAGUAACUCGAAAUAAAAGGCUACAGAAUAAACGGAGACUAGCCAAAGGUGAGACGACGAUAGGUGUUGGAAGAGUUUCCAAGGUUGAUGUGAUCAAACAUCGCACGCUUCGUCUACCAUCGGGGUUGGUGUUAAACCUAAAUAAUUGUUAUUUGGUGUUUGCGUUGAGCAUGGACAUGAUUAGAUUAUGUUCAUCGCAAUGCGGUUAUUCAUUUAAGGAGAAUGGUGGUUACUCUGUUUAUUUGAAUAAUACCUUCAAUGGUCUUACACCUAAAAUGAAUGGUUUAUUGAAUCCCGAUCGUAGUGAUACACAUGUUCAUGCCAAAAGAUAUAAGAUAGUAAUGAUAGUACCACAUACUUGUAGCACUGCAAUUUUAGUCACAAUGGUAUAAAACGCAUGAAGAAGCUCCAUGAUGAUGGAUCUUUGGACUCGCUUGAUUUUGAAUCACUUGAGACAUGCAAAUCAUAUCACAUGAGCAAGAUGACUGAAAGGCCUCGUUUUCCGUAAGAUGGAACAAGAAAGAAACUUGUUGGAAGUAAUACAUCUUGAUGUGUGCAGUCCAAUGAGUGCUGAGGCAUGUAGUGGAUAUUGUUAUAUUCUUACUUCACAGAUGAUUUGAGUAGAUGCUGAGUAUAUUUACUUGAUGAAUCACGAGUCUGAAUUAUUGAAAGGUUCAAGUAAUUUCAGGGUGAAGUUGAAGAUCGUCGUGGCAAGAGGAUAAAAUAUCUAUGAUAUGAUCAUAGAGAUGAAUAUCUGAAUUACGAGUUUGGCACAGAAUUAAGACAUUGUGGAAAUUGUUUCACAACUAAUACAGCCUGGAACACCAUAGUGUGAUGGUGUGUCCGAACAUCAUAACUGCACCCUAUUGGAUAUGAUGCAUACCAUGAUGUCUCUUAUCGAAUUACCACGAUAGUUUAUGGGUUAGGCAUUAGAGACAACCACAUUCACUUUAAAUAGGGCACCACAUAAUUCCGAUGAGAUGACACCGUAUGAACUAUGGUUUAGAGAAACCUAAGCUGUCAUUUCUUAAAAGUUUGGGGCUGCGACGCUUAUGUGAAAAAGUUCCAGGCUGAUAAGCUCAAACCCAAAGCGGAUAAAUACAUCUUCAUAGGACACCCAAAACAGUUGGGUAUACCUCCUGUCUCAGAUCCGAAAGCAAUAGGGAUUGUUUCUCGAAUCGGGUCCUUUCUCGAGGAAAAGUUUCUCUCGAAAGAAUUGAGUGGGAGGAAGAUAGAACUUGAUAAGGUUGUUGAACCUUUACUUCAACCAGAGAGUAGCGCAGCACAGGAAAAAUGUUUCUGUGGCACCUGCCUCAGUUGAAGAGAAAGCUAAUGAUGAUGAUCAUGGAGCUUCAGAUCAAGUUACUAUCGAACCUCAUGGGUUGACAAGGGUGUGUACAACUUCUAAGUGGUAACCCUAUCUUAAAGGUCACGUUGUUGGACAACAAUGAACCUAUGAGCUAUGGAGAAGCGAUGGUGGGCCCGGAUUCUAAAAAUUGGCUCGAGGCCAUAAAGUCCAAGAGAGGAUCCAUGUAUGAAAACAAAGUGUAGACUUUGGAAGAACUACUUGAUGGUUGUAAGGCUGUUAGGUACAUGUGGAUUUUAAGAAGAAGACGGACGUGUACGGUAAUGUCAUCGUCUAUGAAGCUCGACUUGUGGCGAAGAUUUUUUCACAAGUUCAAGCAGUUGACUACAAUGAGAUUUUCUCACCCGUAGCGAUGCUUAAGUCCAUCGAAAUCAUGUUAGCAUAAGCUGCAUUUAUGAAAUCUGGCAGAUGGAUGUCAAAACAAGUUUCCUUACCAGUUUUCGUAAGGAAAGGUUGUAUGUGAUACAAUCAGAAAGGUUUUGUCGAUCCUAAGGAUGCUAAAAGGUAUGCAAGCUCCAGCGAUCCUUCCAUGGACUAGAGCUAGCAUCUCGGAGUCGGAAUAUACACUUUGAUAGAGUAAUCAAAGUUUAUGGGUUUAUACAAAGUUUGUUAGAAACUUGUAUUUACAAUAAAGUGAGUGGGAGCACUACAACAUUUCUGAUAAGUAUAUGUGGAUGACAUAGUGUUGAUCCGAAAUGAUGAAGAACUUCUGGAAAGCAUAUAGGGUUAUUUGAAAAGUGUUUUUUCAAUGGAAAACCUUGAUUAAGCUACUUGAACAUUGAGCAUCAAGAUCUAUAAGGAUAGAUCAAAAAUGUUUAAUUGUACUUUCAAAUGAGCACAUACCUUGACAUGAUCUUGAAGGUGUUCAAGAUGGAUCAGCCAAAGAAGGAGUUCUUGCCUGAGUCGUAAGGUAUGAAGUUAAGACUUAAAGCUCGACCACGGCAGGAGAAAUAGGAAGGACGAAGGUCGUCCCCUAUGCUUUUGUCAUAGGCUCUAUAUGGUAUGCCAUGCUGAGUACCGCACCUGAUGUGUGCCUUGCCACAUGCCUGGCAAGAGGGUACAAAGGUGAUCUAGGAGUAGAUCACCAGAUAGCGGUCAAAAUUAUCCUUAGAGGAAUAAGGAUAUGUUUCUCGAUUAUGGAGGUGAUAAAGAGUUUGACAUAAAGAGUUACGUCGAUGCAAGCUUAACACCUAUCCGGAUAGCUCUGAGUAGAGAUAUCGGAUACGUAUAAUGGAGCAACAAUUUAGAAUAGCUCCAAGUAGAACAGUUAUUUGAAAUGGCUCCAAAUAUAGCGUAGAGAUUUGCAAAGUACAUACGGAUCUGAAUGUUGCAGACCCGUUGACUAAAACCUCUCUCACAAGCAACAUGAUCAAACCCAGAACUCAUUGAGUGUUAAUCACAUAGUGAUGUGAACUAGAUUAUUGACUCUAGAAAACUCUUUGGAUGUUGGUCACAUGGCGAUGUGACCUGUGAGUGUUAAUCUCAUGGUGAUGUGAACUAGAUUAUUGACUCUAGUGCAAGUGGGAGACUGUUGGAAAUAUGCUCUAGAGGCAAUAACAAAUUAGUUAUUAUUAUAUUUCCUUGUUCAUGAUAAUCGUUUAUUAUCCAUGCUAUAAUUGUAUUGAUAGGAAACUCAGAUACAUGUGUGGAUACAUAGACAACACCAUGUCCCUAGUAAGCCUCUAGUUGACUAGCUCGUUGAUCAAUAGAUGGUUACGGUUUCCUGACCAUGGACAUUGGAUGUCAUUGAUAACGGGAUCACAUCAUUAGGAGAAUCAUGUGAUGGACAAGACCCAAUCCUAAGCCUAGAACAAAGAUCGUGUAGUUCGUAUGCUAAAGCUUUUCUAAUGUCAAGUAUCAUUUCCUUAGACCAUGAGAUUGUGCAACUCCCGGAUACCGUAGGAAUGCUUUGGGUGUGCCAAACAUCACAACGUAACUGGGUGGCUAUAAAGAUACACUACGGGUAUCUCCGAAAGUGUCUGUUGGGUUGGCACGAAUCGAGACUGGGAUUUGUCACUCCGUGUGAAGGAGAGGUAUCUCUGGGCCCACUCGGUAGGACAUCAUCAUAUGCACAAUGUGACCAAGGAGUUGAUCACGAGAUGAUGUGUUACGGAACGAGUAAAGAGACUUGUCGGUAACAAGAUUGAACAAGGUAUCGGAUACUGACGAUCGAAUCUCGGGCAAGUACAAUACCGCUAGACAAAGGGAAUUGAAUACGGGAUUGAUUAAAUCCUCGACAUCGUGGUUCAUCCGAUGAGAUCAUCGUGGAACAUGUGGGGAGCCAACAUGGGUAUCCAGAUCCCGCUGUUGGUUAUUGGCCGGAGAGUUGUCUCGGUCAUAUCUGCAUGGUUCCCGAACCCGUAGGGUCUACACACUUAAGGUUCGGUGACGGUAGAGUUGUUAUGGGAAAUAGUAUGUGGUUACCGAAGGUUGUUCGGAGUCCCGGAUGAGAUCGCGGACAUGAUGAGGAGCUCCAGAAUGGUCCGAAGGUGAAGAUCGGUAUAUUGGACGAACGGUAUUGGAGUCCGGAAUUGUUCCGGGGGUACCAGGUGAUGACCAGCGUGUCCGAAAGGGGUUUCGGAGGACCCGGCAAGCGUUGGGGGGCCUUAUGGGCCAAGGGGAGAGGGCACAUCAGCCCACUAAGGGGUUGAGCGCCCCUCCCACCACAUCUCACGUAACCAGGAGAGGUGGGGGUGCCACCCCUAGGGCAGCCGCCCCUCCCAGCUUGGGGGGCAAGUUUCCUAAGGGGUGGCGGCGCCCAAACCCAUCUAGGGUUUCCCCUGUGGCCGCCGCCCCUCCCCUAGGGAACCCUAGGGCGCCUCCCCCUCCUCCCUUCCCCCUAUAUAUUGUGAGGCAGAGAGAGGGCAGCCGCACCCUUCCCCUAGCACAGCCCUCUCCCUCCUCCAACACCUCGUCCUCCUCCGUAGUGCUUGACGAAGCCCUGCCAGAGAACCACGAGCUCCAUCACCACCAUGUCGUCGUGCUGUCGGAGUUUUCCCUCAACUUCUCCUCUCCCCUUGCUGGAUCAAGAAGGAGGAGACAUCCCCGGGCUGUACGUGUGUUGAACGCGGAGGUGCCGUCCGUUCGGCACUAGGAUCAUCGGUGAUUUGGAUCACGACGAGUACGACUCCAUGAACCCCGUUCACUUGAACGCUUCUGCUUAGCGAUCUACAAGGGUAUGUAGAUGCACUCUCCUUCCCUCGUUGCUAGAUUACUCCAUAGAUUGAUCUUGGUGAUGCAUAGAAAAUUUUGAAUUUCUGCUACGAUCCCCAACAGUGGCAUCAUGAGCUAGGUCUAUGCGUAGUUUCUAUGCACGAAUAGAACACAAAGUAGUUGUGGGCAUCGAUUUUGUCAAUUUACUUGUCGUUACUAGUCUUAUCUUGAUUCGGCGGCAUUGUGGGAUGAAGCGGCCCGGACCAACCUUACACGUACGCUUACGUGAGACCGGUUCCAUCGACUGACAUGCAUUAGUUGCAUAAGGUGGCUGGCGGGUGUCUGUCUGUCCCACUUUAGUCGGAUCGGAUUCGAUGAACAUGGUCCUUAUGAAGGGUAAAUAGAAAUUGGCAAUUCACGUUGUGGUUUUGGCGUAGGUAAGAAACGUUCUUGCUAGCAACCUAUAGCAGCCACGUAAAAACUUGCAACAACAAUUAGAGGACGUCUAACUUGUUUUUGCAGCAAGUGUUUUGUGAUGUGAUGUGGCCAAAGGAUGUGAUGAAUGAUAUAUGUGAUGUAUGAGAUGAUCAUGUUCUUGUAAUAGGAAUCAUGACUUGCAUGUCGAUGAAUAUGAUAACCGGCGGGAGCCAUAGGAGUUGUCUUAAUUUAUUUAUGACCCGCGUGUCAACAUAAACGUCAUGUAAUUACUUUACUUUAUUGCUAACCGUUAGCUGUAGUAGUAGAAGUAAUAGUUGGCGAGACAACUUCAUGAAGACACAAUGAUGGAGAUCAUGGUGUCAUGCCGGUGACGAUGAUGAUCAUGGAGCCCCGAAGAUGGAGAUCAAAAGGAGCAAAGUGAUGAUGGCCAUAUCAUGUCACUAUUUGAUUGCAUGUGACGUUUAUCAUGUUUUUACAUCCUAUUUGCUUAGAACGACGGUAGCUUAAAUAAGAUGAUCCCUCACUAAAAUUUCAAGAAAAGUGUUCUCCCUGACUGUGCACCGUUGCGAAGGUUCGUCGUUUCGAAGCACCACGUGAUGAUCGGGUGUGAUAGAUUCUUAUGUUCGAAUACAACGGGUGUUGAUGAGCCUAGCAUGUACAGACAUGGCCUCGGAACACAUGCGAAACACUUAGGUUAACUUGACGAGCCUAGCAUGUACAGACAUGGCCUCGGAACACGGAGGACCGAAAGGUCGAACAUGAGUCGUAUAGAAGAUGCGAUCAACAUGAGAUGUUCACCGAUGAUGACUAGCCCGUCUCACGUGAUGAUCGGACACGGCCUAGUCGAUUUGGAUCAUGUAUCACUUAGAUGACUAGAGGGAUGUCUAUCUGAGUGGGAGUUCAUGAAAUAAUCAGAUGAACUCAAUUAUCAUGAACAUAGUCAAAAGGACUUUGCAAAUUAUGUCGUAGCUCGCGCUUUAGUUCUACUGUUUUAGAUAUGUUCCUAGAGAAAAUUUAGUUGAAAGUUGAUAGUAGCAAUUAUGCGGACUGGAUCCGUAAACAGAGUAUUGUCCUCAUUGCUGCGCAAAAGGAUUAUGUCCUUAAUGCACCGCUCAGUGAGCUGACCCUCGAAUGUCGGUUGUGGAUGUUGCGAACAUCUGACAUACACGUUUUGAUGACUACAUGAUAGUUCAGUGCGUAAUGCUAAAUGGUUUAGAAUUGAGGCACCAAAGACGUUUUUGAAACAUCGCAGAACAUAUGAGAUGUUCCAAGGACAGAAAUUGGGAUUUCAGGCUAGUGCCCACGUCAAGAGGUAUGAGACCUUUGACAAGUUUCCUAAGCCUGCAAACUAAGGAGACAAGCUCAAUCAUUGAGCAUGUGCUCAGAUUGUAUGAGUGCUACUAUCGCUUGAAUCGAGUGGGAGUUAAUCUUCCAGAUGAGAUAGUGAUGGUUCUCCAAAGUCACUAUCACCAAGCUACUGGAGCUUCGUGAUGAACUAUAACAUAACAGGGAUAGAUAUGAUCCUUGAGCUAUUCGCGACACCGCGAAAGUAGAAAUCAAAAGGGAGCAUCAAUUGUUGAUGGUUAGUAAACCACUAGUUUCAAGAAAGGCAAGGGCAAGAAAGGGAUACUUCAUGAAACAACAAAUCAGUUGCCGCUCUAGUGAAGAAACCCAAAGUUGAACCCAAGCCCGAGACUAAGUGCUUCUGUAAUAAGGGGAACGGUCAAUGAAGCAGAACCACCCUAGAUACUUGGUAGAUGAGAAGGCUGACAAGGUUGACAGAAGUAUGUAUUGGACAUAUAUUAAAUGUGUACUUUACUAGUACUCCUAGUAGCAGCAGGGUAUUAGAUACCGGUUCGGUUGCUAAGUGUUAGUAACUCGAAAUAAAAGGCUACAGAAUAAACAGAGACUAGCCAAAGGUGAGACGACGAUAGGUGUUGGAAGAGUUUCCAAGGUUGAUGUGAUCAAACAUCGCACGCUCCGUCUACCAUCGGGGUUGGUGUUAAACCUAAAUAAUUGUUAUUUGGUGUUUGCGUUGAGCAUGGACAUGAUUAGAUUAUGUUCAUCGCAAUGCGGUUAUUCAUUUAAGGAGAAUAAUGUUUACUCUGUUUAUUUGAAUAAUACCUUCAAUGGUCUUACACCUAAAAUGAAUGGUUUAUUGAAUCCCGAUCGUAGUGAUACACAUGUUCAUGACAAAAGAUAUAAGAUAGUAAUGAUAGUACCACAUACUUGUGGCACUGCAAUUUUAGUCACAAUGGUAUAAAACGCAUGAAGAAGCUCCAUGAUGAUGGAUCUUUAGACUCGCUUGAUUUUGAAUCACUUGAGACAUGCAAAUCAUAUCACAUGAGCAAGAUGACUGAAAGGCCUCGUUUUCCGUAAGAUGGAACAAGAAAGAAACUUGUUGGAAGUAAUACAUCUUGAUGUGUGCAGUCCAAUGAGUGCUGAGGCAUGUAGUGGAUAUCGUUAUAUUCUUACUUCACAGAUGAUUUGAGUAGAUGCUGAGUAUAUUUACUUGAUGAAUCACGAGUCUGAAUUAUUGAAAGGUUCAAGUAAUUUCAGGGUGAAGUUGAAGAUCGUCGUGGCAAGAGGAUAAAAUAUCUAUGAUAUGAUCAUAGAGAUGAAUAUCUGAAUUACGAGUUUGGCACAGAAUUAAGACAUUGUGGAAAUUGUUUCACAACUAAUACAGCCUGGAACACCAUAGUGUGAUGGUGUGUCCGAACAUCAUAACUGCACCCUAUUGGAUAUGAUGCAUACCAUGAUGUCUCUUAUCGAAUUACCACGAUAGUUUAUGGGUUAGGCAUUAGAGACAACCACAUUCACUUUAAAUAGGGCACCACUUAAUUCCGAUGAGAUUACACCGUAUGAACUAUGGUUUAGAGAAACCUGAGCUAUCAUUUCUUAAAAGUUUGGGGCUGCGACGCUUAUGUGAAAAAGUUCCAGGCACAUAAGCUCGAACCCAAAGCAGAUAAAUACAUCUUCAUAGGACACCCAAAACAGUUGGGUAUACCUCCUGUCUCAGAUCCGAAAGCAAUAGGGAUUGUUUCUCGAAUCGGGUCCAUUCUCGAGGAAAAAUUUCUCUCGAAAGAAUUGAGUGGGAGGAAGAUAGAACUUGAUAAGGUUGUUGAACCUUUACUUCAACCAGAGAGUAGCGCAGCACAGGAAAAAUGUUUCUGUGGCACCUGCCUCAGUUGAAGAGAAAGCUAAUGAUGAUGAUCAUGGAGCUUCAGAUCAAGUUACUAUCGAACCUCAUGGGUUGACAAGGGUGUGUACAACUUCUAAGUGGUAACCCUGUCUUAAAGGUCAUGUUGUUGGACAACGAUGAACCUAUGAGCUAUGGAGAAGCGAUGGUGGGCCCGGAUUCCGAAAAUUGGCUCGAGGCCAUAAAAUCCAAGAGAGGAUCCAUGUAUGAAAACAAAGUGUAGACUUUGGAAGAACUACUUGAUGGUCAUAAGGCUGUUAGGUACAUGUGGAUUUUAAGAAGAAGACGGACGUGGACGGUAAUGUCAUCGUCUAUGAAGCUCGACUUGUGGCGAAGAGUUUUUCACAAGUUCAAGUAGUUGACUACGAUGAGAUUUUCUCACCCGUAGCGAUGCUUAAGUCCGUCGGAAUCAUGUUAGCAUAAGCUGCAUUUAUGAAAUCUGGCAGAUGGAUGUCAAAACAAGUUUCCUUACCAGUUUUCGUAAGGAAAGGUUGUAUGUGAUACAAUCAGAAAGGUUUUGUCGAUCCUAAGGAUGCUAAAAGGUAUGCAAGCUCCAGCGAUCCUUCCAUGGACUAGAGCUAGCAUCUCGGAGUCGGAAUAUACACUUUGAUAGAGUAAUCAAAGUUUAUGGGUUUAUACAAAGUUUGUUAGAAACUUGUAUUUACAAUAAAGUGAGUGGGAGCACUACAACAUUUCUGAUAAGUAUAUGUGGAUGACAUAGUGUUGAUCCGAAAUGAUGAAGAACUUCUGGAAAGCAUAUAGGGUUAUUUGAAAAGUGUUUUUUCAAUGGAAAACCUUGAUUAAGCUACUUGAACAUUGAGCAUCAAGAUCUAUAAGGAUAGAUCAAAAAUGUUUAAUUGUACUUUCAAAUGAGCACAUACCUUGACAUGAUCUUGAAGGUGUUCAAGAUGGAUCAGCCAAAGAAGGAGUUCUUGCCUGAGUCGUAAGGUAUGAAGUUAAGACUUAAAGCUCGACCACGGCAGGAGAAAUAGGAAGGACGAAGGUCGUCCCCUAUGCUUUUGUCAUAGGCUCUAUAUGGUAUGCCAUGCUGAGUACCGCACCUGAUGUGUGCCUUGCCACAUGCCUGGCAAGAGGGUACAAAGGUGAUCUAGGAGUAGAUCACCAGAUAGCGGUCAAAAUUAUCCUUAGAGGAAUAAGGAUAUGUUUCUUGAUUAUGGAGGUGAUAAAGAGUUUGACAUAAAGAGUUACGUCGAUGCAAGCUUAACACCCAUCCGGAUAGCUCUGAGUAGAGAUACCGGAUACGUAUAAUGGAGCAACAAUUUAGAAUAGCUCCAAGUAGAAUAGUUAUUUGAAAUGGCUCCAAAUAUAGCAUAGAGAUUUGCGAAGUACAUACGGAUCUGAAUGUUGCAGACCCGUUGACUAAAGCCUCUCUCACAAGCAACAUGAUCAAACCCAGAACUCAUUGAGUGUUAAUCACAUAGUGAUGUGAACUAGAUUAUAAACUCUAGUAACUCUUUGGAUGUUGGUCACAUGGUGAUGUGACCUGUGAGUGUUAAUCACAUGGUGAUGUGAACUAGAUUAUUGACUCUAGUGCAAGUGGGAGACUGUUGGAAAUAUGCUCUAGAGGUAAUAAAAAAUUAGUUAUUAUUAUAUUUCCUUGUUCAUGAUAAUCGUUUAUUUUCCAUGCUAUAAUUGUAUUGAUAGGAAACUCAGAUACAUGUGUGGAUACAUAGACAACACCAUGUCCCUAGUAAGCCUCUAGUUGACUAGCUCGUUGAUCAAUAGAUGGUUACGGUUUCCUGACCAUGGACAUUGGAUGUCGUUGAUAACGGGAUCACAUCAUUAGGAGAAUCAUGUGAUGGACAAGACCCAAUCCUAAGCCUAGCACAAAGAUCGUGUAGUUCGUAUGCUAAAGCUUUUCUAAUGUCAAGUAUCAUUUCCUUAGACCAUGAGAUUGUGCAACUCCCGGAUACCGUAGGAAUGCUUUGGGUGUGCCAAACGUCACAACGUAACUGGGUGGCAAUAAAGGUACACUACGGGUAUCUCCGAAAGUGUCUGUUGGGUUGGCACGAAUCGAGACUGGGAUUUGUCACUCCGUGUGACGGAGAGGUAUCUCUGGGGCCACUCGGUAGGACAUCAUCAUAUGCGCAAUGUGACCAAGGAGUUGAUCACGGGAUGAUGUGUUACGGAACAAGUAAAGAGACUUGCCGCUAACAAGAUUGAACAAGGUAUCGGAUAACGACGAUCGAAUCUCGGGCAAGUACAAUACCGCUAGACAAAGGGAAUUGAAUACGGAAUUGAUUAAAUCCUCGACAUCGUGGUUCAUCCGAUGAGAUCAUCAUGGAACAUGUGGGAGCCAACAUGGGUAUCCAGAUCCCGUUGUUGGUUAUUGGCCGGAGAGUUGUCUCGGUCAUGUCUGCAUGGUUCCCGAACCCGUAGGGUCUACACACUUAAGGUUCGGUGACGCUAGAGUUGUUACGGGAAAUAGUAUGUGGUUACCGAAGGUUGUUAGCAGUCCUGGAUGAGAUCCCGGACAUGACGAGGAGCUCCGGAAUGGUCCGGAGGUGAAGAUCGGUAUAUUGGACGAAGGGUAUUGGAGUCCGGAAUUGUUCCGGGGGUACCAGGUGAUGACCAGCGUGUCCGAAAGGGGUUUCGGAGGCCCCGACAAGCGUUGGGGGGCCUUAUGGGCCAACGGGAGAGGGCACAUAAGCCCACUAAGGGGCUGAGCGCCCCUCCCACCCCAUCUCACGUAACCAGGAGUGGUGGGGGCGCCACCCCUAGGGCAGCCGCCCCUCCCAGCUUGGGGGGCAAGUUUCCUAAGGGGUGGGGGCGCCCAAACCGAUCUAGGGUUUCCCAUGUGGCCGCCGCCCCUCUCCUAGGGAACCCUAGGGCGCCUCCCCCUCCUCCCUUCCCCCUAUAUAUUGUGAGGGAGAGAGAGGGCAGCCGCACCCUUCCCCUGGCGCAGCCCUCUCCCUCCUCCAACACCUCGUCCUCCUCCGUAGUGCUUGGCGAAGCCCUGCCAGAGAACGACGAGCUCCAUCACCACCAUGCCGUCGUGCUGUCGGAGUUUUCCCUCAACUUCUCCUCUCCCCUUGCUGGAUCAAGAAGUAGGAGACGUCCCCGGGCUGUACGUGUGUUGAACGCGGAGGUGCCGUCCGUUCGGCACUAGGAUCAUCGGUGAUUUGGAUCACGACGAGUACGACUCCAUCAACCCCGUUCCCUUGAACGCUUCCGCUUAGCGAUCUACAAGGGUAUGUAGAUGCACUCUCCUUCCCUUGUUGCUAGAUUACUCCAUAGAUUAAUCUUGGUGAUGCGUAGAAAAUUUUGAAUUUCUGCUACGAUCCCCAACAGUGGCAUCAUGAGCUAGGUCUAUGCGUAGUUUCUAUGCACGAAUAGAACACAAAGUAGUUGUGGGCGUCGAUUUUGUCAAUUUACUUGCUGUUACUAGUCUUAUCUUGAUUCGGCGGCAUUGUGGGAUGAAGCGGCCCGGACCAACCUUACACGUACGCUUACGUGAGACCGGUUCCACCGACUGACAUGCACUAGUUGCAUAAGGUGGCUGGCGGGUGUCUGUCUCUCCCACUUUAGUCGGAUUGGAUUCGAUGAACAUGGUCCUUAUGAAGGGUAAAUAGAAAUUGGCAAUUCACGUUGUGGUUUUGGCGUAGGUAAGAAACGUUCUUGCUAGCAACCUAUAGCAGCCACGUAAAAACUUGCAACAACAAUUAGAGGACGUCUAACUUGUUUUUGCAGCAAGUGUUUUGUGAUGUGAUGUGGCCAAAGGAUGUGAUGAAUGAUAUAUGUGAUGUAUGAGAUGAUCAUGUUCUUGUAAUAGGAAUCACGACUUGCAUGUCGAUGAAUAUGAUAACCGGCAGGAGCCAUAGGAGUUGUCUUAAUUUAUUUAUGACCUGCGUGUCAACAUAAACGUCAUGUAAUUACUUUACUUUAUUGCUAACCGUUAGCUGUAGUAGUAGAAGUAAUAGUUGGCGAGACAACUUCAUGAAGACACAAUGAUGGAGAUCAUGGUGUCAUGCCGGUGACGAUGAUGAUCAUGGAGCCCCGAAGAUGGAGAUCAAAAGGAGCAAAGUGAUGAUGGCCAUAUCAUGUCACUAUUUGAUUGCAUGUGACGUUUAUCAUGUUUUUACAUCUUAUUUGCUUAGAAUGAUGGUAGCUUAAAUAAGAUGACCCCUCACUAAAAUUUCAAGAAAAGUGUUCUCCCUAACUGUGCACCGUUGCGAAGAUUUGUCGUUUCGAAGCACCACGUGAUGAUCGGGUGUGAUAGAUUCUUACGUUCGAAUACAACGGGUGUUGACGAGCCUAGCAUGUACAGACAUGGCCUCGGAACACAUGCGAAACACUUAGGUUAACUUGACGAGCCUAGCAUGUACAAACAUGGCCUCGGAACACGGAGGACCGAAAGGUCGAACAUGAGUCGUAUAGAAGAUGCGAUCAACAUGAGAUGUUCACCGAUGAUGACUAGUCCGUCUCACGUGAUGAUCGGACACGGCCUAGUCGAUUCAGAUCAUGUAUCACUUAGAUUACUAGAGGGAUGUCUAUCUGAGUGGGAGUUCAUGAAAUAAUCAGAUGAACUCAAUUAUCAUGAACAUAGUCAAAAGGACUUUGCAAAUUAUGUCGUAGCUCGCGCUUUAGUUCUACUGUUUUAGAUAUGUUCCUAGAGAAAAUUUAGUUGAAAGUUGAUAGUAGCAAUUAUGCGGACUGGAUCCGUAAACAGAGUAUUGUCCUCAUUGCUGCGCAGAAGGAUUAUGUCCUUAAUGCACCGGUCAGUGAGCUGACCCUCGAAUGUCGGUUGUGGAUGUUGCGAACAUCUGACAUACACGUUUUGAUGACUACAUGAUAGUUCAGUGCGUAAUGCUAAAUGGUUUAGAAUUGAGGCACCAAAGACGUUUUUGAAACAUCGCAGAACAUAUGAGAUGUUCCAAGGACAGAAAUUGGGAUUUCAGGCUAGUGCCCACGUCAAGAGGUAUGAGACCUUUGACAAGUUUCCUAAGCCUGCAAACUAAGGAGAAAAGCUCAAUCGUUGUGCAUGUGCUCAGAUUGUAUGAGUGCUACUAUCGCUUGAAUCGAGUGGGAGUUAAUCUUCCAGAUGAGAUAGUGAUGGUUCUCCAAAGUCACAGUCACCAAGCUACUGGAGCUUCAUGAUGAACUAUAACAUAACAGGGAUAGAUAUGAUCCUUGAGCUAUUCGCGACACCGCGAAAGUAGAAAUCAAAAGGGAGCAUCAAUUGUUGAUGGUUAGUAAAACCACUAGUUUCAAGAAAGGCAAGGGCAAGAAAGGGAUACUUCAUGAAACAACAAAUCAGUUGUUGCUCUAGUGAAGAAACCCAAAGUUGAACCCAAGCCCGAGACUAAGUGCUUCUGUAAUAAGGGCAACGGUCACUGAAGCAGAACCACCCUAGAUACUUGGUAGAUGAGAAGGCUGACAAGGUUGACAGAAGUAUGUAUUGGACAUAUAUUAAAUGUGUACUUUACUAGUACUCCUAGUAGCAGCAGGGUAUUAGAUACCGGUUCGGUUGCUAAGUGUUAGUAACUCGAAAUAAAAGGCUACAGAAUAAACAGAGACUAGCCAAAGGUGAGACGACGAUAGGUGUUGGAAGAGUUUCCAAGGUUGAUGUGAUCAAACAUCGCACGCUCCGUCUACCAUCGGGGUUGGUGUUAAACCUAAAUAAUUGUUAUUUGGUGUUUGCGUUGAGCAUGGACAUGAUUAGAUUAUGUUCAUCGCAAUGCGGUUAUUCAUUUAAGGAGAAUAAUGGUUACUCUGUUUAUUUGAAUAAUACCUUCAAUGGUCUUACACCUAAAAUGAAUGGUUUAUUGAAUCCCGAUCGUAGUGAUACACAUGUUCAUGCCAAAAGAUAUAAGAUAGUAAUGAUAGUACCACAUACUUGUGGCACUGCAAUUUUAGUCACAAUGGUAUAAAACACAUGAAGAAGCUCCAUGAUGAUGGAUCUUUGGACUCGCUUGAUUUUGAAUCACUUGAGACAUGCAAAUCAUACCACAUGAGCAAGAUGACUGAAAGGCCUCGUUUUCAGUAAGAUGGAACAAGAAAGCAACUUGUUGGAAGUAAUACAUCUUGAUGUGUGCAGUCCAAUGAGUGCUGAGGCAUGUAGUGGAUAUCGUUAUAUUCUUACUUCACAGAUGAUUUGAGUAGAUGCUGAGUAUAUUUACUUGAUGAAUCACGAGUCUGAAUUAUUGAAAGGUUCAAGUAAUUUUAGGGUGAAGUUGAAGAUCGUCGUGGCAAGAGGAUAAAAUAUCUAUGAUAUGAUCAUAGAGAUGAAUAUCUGAAUUACGAGUUUGGCACAAAUUUAAGACAUUGUGGAAAUUGUUUCACAACUAAUAUAGCCUGGAACACCAUAGUGUGAUAGUGUGUCCGAACAUCAUAACUGCACCCUAUUGGAUAUGAUGCAUACCAUGAUGUCUCUUAUCGAAUUACCACGAUAGUUUAUGGGUUAGGCAUUAGAGACAACCACAUUCACUUUAAAUAGGGCACCACGUAAUUCUGAUGAGAUGACACCGUAUGAACUAUGGUUUAGAGAAACCUAAGUUGUCAUUUCUUAAAAGUUUGGGGCUGCGACGUUUAUGUGAAAAAGUUCCAGGCUGAUAAGCUCGAACCCAAAGCGGAUAAAUACAUCUUCAUAGGACACCCAAAACAGUUGGGUAUACCUCCUGUCUCAGAUCUGAAAGCAAUAGGGAUUGUUUCUCGAAUCGGGUCCUUUCUCGAGGAAAAGUUUCUCUCGAAAGAAUUGAGUGGGAGGAAGAUAGAACUUGAUAAGGUUGUUGAACCUUUACUUCAACCAGAGAGUAGCGCAGCACAGGAAAAAUGUUUCUGUGGCACCUACCUCAGUUGAAGAGAAAGCUAAUGAUGAUGAUCAUGGAGCUUCAGAUCAAGUUACUAUCGAACCUCAUGGGUUGACAAGGGUGUGUACAACUUCUAAGUGGUAACCCUGUCUUAAAGGUCACGUUGUUGGACAACGAUGAACCUAUGAGCUAUGGAGAAGCGAUGGUGGGCCCGGAAUCCGAAAAUUAGCUCGAGGCCUUAAAAUCCAAGAGAGGAUCCAUGUAUGAAAACAAAGUGUAGACUUUGGAAGAACUACUUGAUGGUCGUAAGGCUGUUAGGUACAUGUGGAUUUUAAGAAGAAUACGGACGUGGACGGUAAUGUCAUCAUCUAUGAAGCUCGACUUGUGGCGAAGAGUUAUUCAGAAGUUCAAGCAGUUGAGUACGAUGAGAUUUUCUCACCCGUAGCGAUGCUUAAGUCCGUCGGAAUCAUGUUAGCAUAAGCUGCAUUUAUGAAAUCUGGCAGAUGGAUGUCAAAACAAGUUUCCUUACCAGUUUUCGUAAGGAAAAGUUGUAUGUGAUACAAUCAGAAAGGUUUUGUCGAUCCUAAGGAUGCUAAAAGGUAUGCAAGCUCCAGCGAUCCUUCCAUGGACUAGAGCUAGCAUCUCGGAGUCAGAAUAUACACUUUGAUAGAGUAAUCAAAGUUUAUGGGUUUAUACAAAGUUUGUUAGAAACUUGUAUUUACAAUAAAGUGAGUGGGAGCACUACAACAUUUCUGAUAAGUAUAUGUGGAUGACAUAGUGUUGAUCCAAAAUGAUGAAGAACUUCUGGAAAGCAUAUAGGGUUAUUUGAAAAGUGUUUUUUCAAUGGAAAACCUUGAUUAAGCGACUUGAACAUUGAGCAUCAAGAUCUAUAAGGAUAGAUAAAAAAUGCUUAAUUGUACUUUCAAAUGAGCACAUGCCUUGACAUGAUCUUGAAGGUGUUCAAGAUGGAUCAGCCAAAGAAGGAGUUCUUGCCUGAGUUGUAAGGUAUGAAGUUAAGACUUAAAGCUCGACGUCGGCGGGAGAAAGAGGAAGGACGAAGGUCGUCCCCUAUGCUUUUGUCAUAGGCUCUAUACGGUAUGCCAUGCUGAGUACCGCACCUGAUGUGUGCCUUGCCACAUGCCUGGCAAGAGGGUACAAAGGUGAUCUAGGAGUAGAUCACCAGAUAGCGGUCAAAAUUAUCCUUAGAGGAAUAAGGAUAUGUUUCUCGAUUAUGAGGUGAUAAAGAGUUCGACAUAAAGAGUUACGUCGAUGCAAGCUUAACACCUAUCUGGAUAGCUCUGAGUAGAGAUACCGGAUACGUAUAAUGGAGCAACAAUUUAGAAUAGCUCCAAGUAGAACAGUUAUUUGAAAUGGCUCCAAAUAUAGCGUAGAGAUUUGCGAAGUACAUACGGAUCUGAAUGUUGCAGACCCGUUGACUAAAACCUCUCUCACAAGCAACAUGAUCAAACCCAGAACUCAUUGAGUGUUAAUCACAUAGUGAUGUGAACUAGAUUAUUGACUCUAGUAAACUCUUUGGAUGUUGGUCACAUGGCGAUGUGACCUGUGAGUGUUAAUCACAUGGCGAUGUGAACUAGAUUAUUGACUCUAGUGCAAGUGGGAGACUGUUGAAAUAUGCUCUAGAGGCAAUAACAAAUUAGUUAUUAUUAUAUUUCCUUGUUCAUGAUAAUCGUUUAUUAUCCAUGCUAUAAUUGUAUUGAUAGGAAACUCAGAUACAUGUGUGGAUACAUAGACAACACCAUGUCCCUAGUAAGCCUCUAGUUGACUAGCUCGUUGAUCAAUAGAUGGUUACGGUUUCCUGACCAUGGACAUUGGAUGUCCUUGAUAACGGGAUCACAUCAUUAGGAGAAUCAUGUGAUGGACAAGACCCAAUCCUAAGCCUAGCACAAAGAUCGUGUAGUUCGUAUGCUAAAGCUUUUCUAAUGUCAAGUAUCAUUUCCUUAGACCAUGAGAUUGUGCAACUCCCGGAUACCGUAGGAAUGCUUUGGGUGUGCCAAACGUCACAACGUAACUGGGUGGCUAUAAAGGUACACUACGGGUAUCUCCGAAAGUGUCCGUUGGGUUGGCACGAAUCGAGACUGGGAUUUGUCACUCCGUGUGACGGAGAGGUAUCUCUGGGCCCACUCGGUAGGACAUCAUCAUAUGCGCAAUGUGACCAAGGAGUUGAUCACGGCAUGAUGUGUUACGGAACGAGUAAAGAGACUUGCCGGUAACGAGAUUGAACAAGGUAUCGGAUACCGACGAUCGAAUCUCGGGCAAGUACAAUACCACUAGACAAAGGGAAUUAAAUACGGGAUUGAUUAAAUCCUCGACAUCGUGGUUCAUCCGAUGAGAUCAUCAUGGAACAUGUGGGAGCCAACAUGGGUAUCCAGAUCCCGAUGUUGGUUAUUGGCUGGAGAGUUGUCUCGGCCAUGUCUGCAUGGUUCCCGAACCCGUAGGGUCUACACACUUAAGGUUCAGUGACACUAGAGUUGUUAUGGGAAAUAGUAUGUGGUUACCGAAGGUUGUUCGGAGUCCCGGAUGAGAUCCCGGACAUGACGAGGAGCUCCGGAAUGGUCCAUACGUGAAGAUCGGUAUAUUGGACGAAGGGUAUUGGAGUCCGGAAUUGUUCCGGGGGUACCAGGUGAUGACCAGCGUGUCCGAAAGGGGUUUCGGAGGCCCCAACAAGCGUUGGGGGGCCUUAUGGGCCAAGGGGAGAGGGCACAUCAGCCCACUAAGGGGCUGAGCACCCCGCCCACCCCAUCUCACGUAACCAGGAGAGGUGGGGGCGCCACCCCUAGGGCAGCCGCCCCUCCUAGCUUGGGGGGCAAGUUUCCUAAGGGGUGGGGGCGCCCAAACCCUUCUAGGGUUUCCCCUGUGGCAGCCGCCCCUCCCCUAGGGAACCCUAGGGCGCCUCCCCCUCCUCCCUUCCCCCUAUAUAUUGUGAGGGAGAGAGAGGGCAGCCGCACCCUUCCCCUGGCGCAGCCCUCUCCCUCCUCCAACACCUCGUCCUCCUCCGUAGUGCUUGGCGAAGCCCUGCCAGAGAACCACGAGCUCCAUCACCACCAUGCCGUCGUGCUGUCGGAGUUUUCCCUCAACUUCUCCUCUCCCCUUGCUGGAUCAAGAAGGAGGAGACGUCCCCGGGCUGUACAUGUGUUGAACGCGGAGGUGCCAUCCGUUCGGCACUAGGAUCAUCAGUGAUUUGGAUCACGACGAGUACGACUCCAUCAACCCCGUUCACUUGAACGCUUCCGUUGAGCGAUCUACAAGGGUAUGUAGAUGCACUCUCCUUCCCUCAUUGCUAGAUUACUCCAUAGAUUGAUCUUGGUGAUGCGUAGAAAAUUUUGAAUUUCUGCUAUGAUCCCCAACAGUGGCAUCAUGAGCUAGGUCUAUGCGUAGUUUCUAUGCACGAAUAGAACACAAAGUAGUUGUGGGCGUCGAUUUUGUCAAUUUACUUGCCGUUACUGGUCUUAUCUUGAUUCGGCGGCAUUGUGGGAUGAAGCGGCCCGGACCAACCUUACACGUACGCUUACGUUCGACCGGUUCCACCGACUGACAUGCACUAAUUGCAUAAGGUGGCUGGUGGGUGUCUGUCUCUCCCACUUUAGUCGGAUCGGAUUCGAUGAACAUGGUCCUUAUGAAGGGUAAAUAGAAAUUGGCAAUUCACGUUGUGGUUUUGGCGUAGGUAAGAAACGUUCUUGCUAGCAACCUAUAGCAGCCACGUAAAAACUUGCAACAACAAUUAGAGGACGUCUAACUUGUUUUUGCAGCAAGUGUUUUGUGAUGUGAUGUGGCCAAAGGAUGUGAUGAAUGAUAUAUGUGAUGUAUGAGAUGAUCAUGUUCUUGUAAUAGGAAUCACGACUUGCAUGUCGAUGAAUAUGAUAACCGGCAGGAGCCAUAGGAGUUGUCUUAAUUUAUUUAUGACCUGCGUGUCAACAUAAACGUCAUGUAAUUACUUUACUUUAUUGCUAACCGUUAGCUGUAGUAGUAGAAGUAAUAGUUGGCGAGACAACUUCAUGAAGACACAAUGAUGGAAAUCAUGGUGUCAUGCCGGUGGCGAUGAUGAUCAUGGAGCCCCGAAGAUGGAGAUCAAAAGGAGCAAAGUUAUGAUGGCCAUAUCAUGGCACUAUUUGAUUGCAUGUGACGUUUAUCAUGUUUUUACAUCUUAUUUGCUUAGAACGACGGUAGCUUAAAUAAGAUGACCCCUCACUAAAAUUUCAAGAAAAGUGUUCUCCCUAACUGUGCACCGUUGCGAAGGUUCGUCGUUUCAAAGCACCACGUGAUGAUCGGGUGUGAUAGAUUCUUAUGUUCGAAUACAACGGGUGUUGACGAGCCUAGCAUGUACAGACAUGGCCUCGGAACACAUGCGAAACACUUAGGUUAACUUGACGAGCCUAGCAUGUACAGACAUGGCCUCGGAACACGGAGGACCGAAAGGUCGAACAUGAGUCGUAUAGAAGAUGCGAUCAACAUGAGAUGUUCACCGAUGAUGACUAGUCCGUCUCACGUGAUGAUCGGACACGGCCUAGUCGAUUCGGAUCAUGUAUCACUUAGAUGACUAGAGGGAUGUCUAUCUGAGUGGGAGUUCAUGAAAUAAUCAGAUGAACUCAAUUAUCAUGAACAUAGUCAAAAGGACUUUGCAAAUUAUGUCGUAGCUCGCGCUUUAGUUCUGCUGUUUUAGAUAUGUUCCUAGAGAAAAUUAGUUGAAAGUUGAUAGUAGCAAUUAUGCGGACUGGAUCCGUAAACAGAGUAUUGUCCUCAUUGCUGCGCAGAAGGAUUAUGUCCUUAAUGCACCGCUCAGUGAGCUGACCCUCGAAUGUCGGUUGUGGAUGUUGUGAACUUCUGACAUACACGUUUUGAUGACUACAUGAUAGUUCAGCGCGUAAUGCUAAAUGGUUUAGAAUUGAGGCACCAAAGACAUUUUUGAAACAUCACAGAACAUAUGAGAUGUUCCAAGGACUGAAAUCGGGAUUUCAGGCUAGUGCCCACGUCAAGAGGUAUGAGACCUUUGACAAGUUUCCUAAGCCUGCAAACUAAGGAGAAAAGCUCAAUCGUUGAGCAUGUGCUCAGAUUGUAUGAGUGCUACUAUCGCUUGAAUCGAGUGGGAGUUAAUCUUCCAGAUGAGAUAGUGAUUGUUCUCCAAUGUCAUUUUCACCAAGCUACUGGAGCUUCGUGAUGAACUAUAACAUAACAGGGAUAGAUAUGAUCCUUGAGCUAUUCGCGACACCGCAAAAGUAGAAAUCAAAAGGGAGCAUCAAUUGUUGAUGGUUAGUAAAACCACUAGUUUUAAGAAAGGCAAGGGCAAGAAAGGGAUACUUCAUGAAACAACAAAUCAGUUGCUGCUCUAGUGAAGAAACCCAAAGUUGAACCCAAGCCCGAGACUAAGUGCUUCUGUAAUAAGGGGAACGGUCACUGAAGCAGAACCACCCUAGAUACUUGGUAGAUGAGAAGGCUGACAAGGUUGACAGAAGUAUGUAUUGGACAUAUAUUAAAUGUGUACUUUACUAGUACUCCUAGUAGCAGCAGGGUAUUAGAUACCGGUUCGGUUGCUAAGUGUUAGUAACUCGAAAUAAAAGGCUACAGAAUAAACGGAGACUAGCCAAAGGUGAGACGACGAUAGGUGUUGGAAGAGUUUCCAAGGUUGAUGUGAUCAAACAUCGCACGCUCCGUCUACCAUCGGGGUUGGUGUUAAACCUAAAUAAUUGUUAUUUGGUGUUUGCGUUGAGCAUGGACAUGAUUAGAUUAUGUUCAUCGCAAUGCGGUUAUUCAUUUAAGGAGAAUAAUGGUUACUCUGUUUAUUUGAGUAAUACCUUCAAUGGUCUAACACCUAAAAUGAAUGGUUUAUUGAAUCCCGAUCAUAGUGAUACACAUGUUCAUGCUAAAAGAUAUAAGAUAGUAAUGAUAGUACCACAUACUUGUGGCACUGAAAUUUUAGUCACAAUGGUAUAAAACGCAUGAAGAAGCUCCAUGAUGAUGGAUCUUUGGACUCGCUUGAUUUUGAAUCACUUGAGACAUGCAAAUCAUACCACAUGAGCAAGAUGACUGAAAGGCCUCGUUUUCAGUAAGAUGGAACAAGAAAGCAACUUGUUGGAAGUAAUACAUCUUGAUGUGUGCAGUCCAAUGAGUGCUGAGGCAUGUAGUGGAUAUCGUUAUAUUCUUACUUCACAGAUGAUUUGAGUAGAUGCUGAGUAUAUUUACUUGAUGAAUCACGAGUCUGAAUUAUUGAAAGGUUCAAGUAAUUUCAGGGUGAAGUUGAAGAUCGUCAUGGCAAGAGGAUAAAAUAUCUAUGAUAUGAUCAUAGAGAUGAAUAUCUGAAUUACGAGUUUGGCACAUAAUUAAGACAUUGUGGAAAUUGUUUCACAACUAAUACAGCCUGGAACACCAUAGUGUGAUGGUGUGUCCGAACAUCAUAACUACACCCUAUUGGAUAUGAUGCAUACCAUGAUGUCUCUUAUCGAAUUACCACGAUAGUUUAUGGGUUAGGCAUUAGAGACAACCACAUUCACUUUAAAUAGGGCACCACGUAAUUCCGAUGAGAUGACACCGUAUGAACUAUGGUUUAGAGAAACCUAAGUUGUCAUUUCUUAAAAGUUUGGGGCUACGACGCUUAUGUGAAGAAGUUCCAGGCUGAUAAGCUCAAACCCAAAGCGGAUAAAUACAUCUUCAUAGGACACCCAAAACAGUUGGGUAUACCUCCUGUCUCAGAUCCGAAAGCAAUAGGGAUUGUUUCUCGAAUCGGGUCCUUUCUCGAGGAAAAGUUUCUCUCGAAAGAAUUGAGUGGGAGGAAGAUAGAACUUGAUAAGGUUGUUGAACCUUUACUUCAACCAGAGAGUAGCGCAGCAUAGGGAAAAUGUUUCUGUGGCACCUGCCUCAGUUGAAGAGAAAGCUAAUGAUGAUGAUCAUGGAGCUUUAGAUCAAGUUACUAUCGAACCUCAUGGGUUGACAAGGGUGUGUACAACUUCUAAGUGGUAACCUUGUCUUAAAGGUCACGUUGUUGGACAACGAUGAACCUAUGAGCUAUGGAGAAGCGAUGGUGGGCCCGGAUUCCGAAAAUUGGCUCGAGGCCAUAAAAUCCAAGAGAGGAUCCAUGUAUGAAAACAAAGUGUAGACUUUGGAAGAACUACUUGAUGGUCGUAAGGCUGUUAGGUACAUGUGGAUUUUAAGAAGAAGACGGACGUGGACGGUAAUGUCAUCGUCUAUGAAGCUCGACUUGUGGCGAAGAGUUUUUCACAAGUUCAAGCAGUUGAGUACGAUGAGAUUUCAUCACCCGUAGCGAUGCUUAAGUCCGUCGGAAUCAUGUUAGCAUAAGCUGCAUUUAUGAAAUCUGGCAGAUGGAUGUCAAAACAAGUUUCCUUACCAGUUUUCGUAAGGAAAGGUUGUAUGUGAUACAAUCAGAAAGGUUUUGUCGAUCCUAAGGAUGCUAAAAGGUAUGCAAGCUCCAGCGAUCCUUCCAUGGACUAGAGCUAGCAUCUCGGAGUCGGAAUAUACACUUUGAUAGAGUAAUCAAAGUUUAUGGGUUUAUACAAAGUUUGUUAGAAACUUGUAUUUACAAUAAAGUGAGUGGGAGCACUACAACAUUUCUGAUAAGUAUAUGUGGAUGACAUAGUGUUGAUCCGAAAUGAUGAAGAACUUCUGGAAAGCAUAUAGGGUUAUUUGAAAAGUGUUUUUUCAAUGGAAAACCUUGAUUAAGCUACUUGAACAUUGAGCAUCAAGAUCUAUAAGGAUAGAUCAAAAACGCUUAAUUGUACUUUCAAAUGAGCACAUACCUUGACAUGAUCUUGAAGGUGUUCAAGAUGGAUCAGCCAAAGAAGGAGUUCUUGCCUGAGUUGUAAGGUAUGAAGUUAAGACUUAAAGCUCGACCACGGCAGGAGAAAGAGGAGGACGAAGGUUGUCCCCUAUGAUUUUGUCAUAGGCUCUAUACGGUAUGCCAUGCUGAGUACCGCACCUGAUGUGUGCCUUGCCACAUGCCUGGCAAGAGGGUACAAAGGUGAUCUAGGAGUAGAUCACCAGAUAGCGGUCAAAAUUAUCCUUAGAGGAAUAAGGAUAUGUUUCUCGAUUAUGAAGGUGAUAAAGAGUUCGACAUAAAGAGUUACGUCGAUGCAAGCUUAACACCUAUCCGGAUAGCUCUGAGUAGAGAUACCGGGUACGUAUAAUGGAGCAACAAUUUAGAAUAGCUCCAAGUAGAACAGUUAUUUGAAAUGGCUCCAAAUAUAGCGUAGAGAUUUGCGAAGUACAUACGGAUCUGAAUGUUGCAGACCCGUUGACUAAAACCUCUCUCACAAGCAACAUGAUCAAACCCAGAACUCAUUGAGUGUUAAUCACAUAGUGAUGUGAACUAGAUUAUUGACUCUAGUAAACUCUUUGCAUGUUGGUCACAUGGCGAUGUGACGUGUGAGUGUUAAUCACAUGGCGAUGUGAACUAGAUUAUUGACUCUAGUGCAAGUGGGAGACUGUUGGAAAUAUGCUCUAGAGGCAAUAACAAAUUAGUUAUUAUUAUAUUUCCUUGUUCAUGAUAAUCGUUUAUUAUCCAUGCUAUAAUUGUAUUGAUAGGAAACUCAGAUACAUGUGUGGAUACAUAGACAACACCAUGUCCCUAGUAAGCCUCUACUUGACUAGCUCGUUGAUCAAUAGAUAGUUACGGUUUCCUGACCAUGGACAUUGGAUGUCGUUGAUAACGGGAUCACAUCAUUAGGAGAAUCAUGUGAUGGACAAGACCCAAUCCUAAGCCUAGCACAAAGAUCAUGUAGUUCGUAUGCUAAAGCUUUUCUAAUGUCAAGUAUCAUUUCCUUAGACCAUGAGAUUGUGCAACUCCCGGAUACCGUAGGAAUGCUUUGGGUGUGCCAAACGUCACAACGUAACUGGGUGGCUAUAAAGGUACACUACGGGUAUCUCCGAAAGUGUCUGUUGGGUUGGCACGAAUAGAGACUGGGAUUUGUCACUCCGUGUGACGGAGAGGCAUCUCUGGGCCCAUUCGGUAGGGCAUCAUCAUAUGCACAAUGUGACCAAGGAGUUGAUCACGGGAUGAUGUGUUACGGAACGAGUAAAGAGACUUGCCGGUAACGAGAUUGAACAAGGUAUUGGAUACCGACGAUCGAAUCUCGGGCAAGUACAAUACCGCUAGACAAAGGGAAUUGAAUACGGGAUUGAUUAAAUCCUCGACAUCGUGGUUCAUCCGAUGAGAUCAUCGUGGAACAUGUGGGAGCCAACAUGGGUAUCCAGAUCCCGCUGUUGGUUAUUGGCCGGAGAGUUGUCUCGGUCAUGUCUGCAUGGUUCCCGAACCCGUAGGGUCUACACACUUAAGGUUCGGUGACGCUAGAGUUGUUAUGGGAAAUAGUAUGUGGUUACCGAAGUUUGUUCGGAGUCCCGGAUGAGAUCCCGGACAUGACGAGGAGCUCCGGAAUGGUCCGGAGGUGAAGAUCGGUAUAUUGGACGAAGGGUAUUGGAGUCCGAAAUUGUUCCGGGGGUACCAGGUGAUGACCAGCGUGUCCGAAAGGGGUUUCGGAGGCCCCGACAAGCGUUGGGGGGCCUUAUGGGCCAAGGGGAGAGGGCACAUCAGCCCACUAAGGGGCUGAGCGCCCCUCCCACCCCAUCUCACGUAACUAGGAGAGGUGGGGGCGCCACCCCUAGGGCAGCCGCCCCUCCCAGCUUGGGGGGCAAGUUUCCUAAGGGGUGGGGGCGCCCAAACCCAUCUAGGGUUUCCCCUGUGGCCGACGCCCCUCCCCUAGGGAACCCUAGGGCACCUCCCCCUCCUCCCUUCCCCCUAUAUAUUGUGAGGGAGAGAGAGGGCAGCCGCACCCUUCCCCUGGCGUAGCCCUCUCCCUCCUCCAACACCUCGUCCUCCUCCGUAGUGCUUGGCGAAGCCCUGCCAAAGAACCACGAGCUCCAUCACCACCAUGCCGUCGUGCUGUCGGAGUUUUCCCUCAACUUCUCCUCUCCCCUUGCUGGAUCAAGAAGGAGGAGACGUCCCCGGGUUGUACGUGUGUUGAACGCGAAGGUGCCGUCCGUUCGGCACUAGGAUCAUCGGUGAUUUGGAUCACGACGAGUACGACUCCAUCAACCCCAUUCACUUGAACGCUUCCGCUUAGCGAUCUACAAGGGUUUGUAGAUGCACUCUCCUUCCCUCGUUGCUAGAUUACUCCAUAGAUUGAUCUUGGUGAUGCGUAGAAAAUUUUGAAUUUCUGCUACGAUCCCCAACAUGCUGAUCUAACUAGAACUUUCUCACAAGAGGAGGUGAAAGAGGCCUUGUUUGCAAUGGAUGUUAAUAGAGCACCUGGCCCCGAUAACAUUCCUGCGGAGUUUUAUCAACAUUGCUGGGACAUUGUCAAAAAUGACAUUAUGCGGCUAUUCAGCCACUUCCAUACUGGUACGCUUGACGUGCAGCGCCUUAAUUAUGGGGUGAUUACUCUUCUACCUAAAGUGUCAGGUGCUGAUCGCAUCCAGCAAUUUCGGCCUAUUUGUCUUCUUAGGUGCCCAUACAAACUGAUAACUAAGACUAUGGAUCGAAGAGUAGAAAAAUAUGUUGACAAACUGAUAAGCUUGUCACAAAAUGCUUUUGUUAAAGGGAGGAAUAUUAUAGAUGGGAUCAUGACUUUACAUGAGCUCCUCAAUUACACCCAUGUCAAGAAAAAAAUAGGGGUGGUGCUAAAGCUCGAUUUCGAGAAAGCAUACGACAAGGUUAACUGGGAGUUUCUGUUGGAUUGCCACAGAAUGAGGGGCUUCAACGAAACCUGGUGUGGGUGGGUGAAUCAAAUCCUAUACAAUGGUACUGUUAGUAUCAAGCUUAAUAACUCAGUGGGCCCAUAUUUCCAAAGUGCUAAAGGGGUCCACCAAGGAGACCCCCACUCCCCCUUUUUGUUUAAUCUAGCUGUAGAUUGUCUCAGCAAGAUGAUCCGUAAAGCGCAGCAGAAUGGCCUCCUAACUGGACUAGCUUCUGAUCUUGUCCCGAAUGGGGUGGCAGUUCUGCAACACGCAGAUGACACGAUCAUUUGCCUCGAGCAUGACGUGGAAAAGGCAUUAAACCUGAAGCUCCUAUUGUACAUAUUCGAACUCAUGUCUGGACUGAAAGUAAACUUCCAGAAGAGUGAGAUCCUGACUGUCGGAGGGGACGUUGACAUUGAUAACAAAUAUGCCGAGAUCUUUAACUGUGAGAUCGGUCACUUUCCAAUUAAGUAUCUUGGUAUGCCUGUGAGCUUCACAACCCUUAAAGAUUCAGUGUGGGAAUUUAUUGUAGAUAAAUACCUUAAGUGUUUCGGGUCCUGGAUUGGCAAUGCUGCAUCCAGCGGGGGCAGACUUACUUUGCUUACCUCGGUUUUAGCACAACUAUCUUUAUAUCAUAUGUCCAUGUGGCUUAUGAGUAAAACUUUCGUAGAAAGGCUGGACAAGCACCGUCGUAAAUUCUUUUGGCACAGGUGCAAUAAGAAGAAUAAGAUAUUACCUGGUCAAAUAGAAGAUGGUGUGUAGAUCGAAGAGCAAAGGGGGUCUGGGUGUCAAAGACCUCAGGAAACAAAACAUCAGCCUAAUGGUGAAAUGGUGGUGGAAAUUAGAAACUCAAACUGGGGUUUGGCAAAACUUGGUGAGAGCCAGAUAUUUACAAAACAAGUCGGUAGCAAAUGUGCAACCUAGACAAUCUGACUCCCCAUGCUGGAAAUCUCUUCUAAAAGUCGGGGAGUUGUACAUGAUGGGGAGGAAAAUUAAGCUGGGAUGCGGCAACCUGAGCAAGGUUUGGAAAGACUCAAUUGAUGGGAUGCCCCCACUCAAUUCGAGGUUCCCUCGGCUGUUUGAAAUCUAUACAAAUCAGGACUGUACGGUCCAAAACUUUAACAAGGUAGAGGCUUCGACAUUUUUUAGAAGGCGUCUAUGCCCUGAUCUUAGAGAACAGUGGUAUAAGGUGCGGCAGUAAAUCUUGGGGCUUAAUACUACAGCCAAGGAAGAUGUUGUGCUUUGGGGUCUGAGCAAGAAUGCUAAGUACUCCACUAAAUCUAUGUAUAAUUGGCUGGAAAAACCUCUCCAUGGAAGCAACUAUAGAUGGAUCUGGGGGGUGAAACUACCUCUUAAGAUACAGAUCUUCUUGUGGCAGAUGGCCCAAGAUGCGGUGCUCACUAGAGCGGGGAUGAGGAGGAGGAAUUGGCUGGGGAACCCUGUGUGUUCCUUCUGUAACCAUAUUGAAACUGCGUCCCACUUAUUCUUUACGUGUCCUGUGGCGCGUGUUGCCUGGAGGGCAGUUGGAGUUGUGCUAGGGACUGACUUAUGUCCAAAUAACAUCUGGCAAUUCUAUGUGUGGUGUAACAUGUUCCUACCCAAUGAAACCAGAUUUUAUGCUAUUGGUUUGGCGGCAGUAACUUGGGCUAUUUAGCUUGCGCGAAAUAAGGCUACUUUUGAAAAGCAUUUGAUCAAAUCUCCUUUUGAGAUUGUGUAUUCGGCUUGUUUGUUUCUCUUGUAUUGGGCAGGUCUUCAGCCGGUGGAAGAAGCGUCAAGGUUGCGACUCGGAGCUGAGAUGAUUAGAGCAAGCACAACCAAGUUGAUGGCGAUGUGUGAAGGGGCUAGGCGUGCCACGGGAGACAAGGGUGAGGUGUUCUCUGGAUGAUGAUGAUGCUGCUGCUCUGCUCUACAUUCUGCCCCUGGUUGUGAUAGGAGGCGUUGUGUUAAGGUCUAAGUCUCAGGCUCCGCGGCUGGAAAACUUUUGAAGUUUUCAUGCUAAAAAUAUUGUUCCUCUGGCACCUCAUGUUUGUGCCUUUUCUCCCCUGGUCUGUAAUAGCUAGACCCAAACUAAGUAGGUGUUGUCAGGUUUUCGCCCCAUGGUGCUCGUUUCGAUGGCGAGCGAGUACAGUGGGUUUCUUGGCAGUGCGUUGAACUCGCUGCUUCUCUUUCCUUGCUACCUGAAUGUAUCGGACACUGUUGUAUUUCUGUUUAUCUUAAAUGGAAAGGGCACGCCCGGUUAAAAAAAAAAGAGUGAUUGAGUUCUUGAACUCAAGCAGUGACAGCAUGUCUGUCUCGCUUCCAUGCAAGGAGCUGCAGGUGGUAACGUGUGCGCAGCCAAAGGUGAGCAGCAUGACCAGCAACCGGCUCACCGCAGUAACCAUCAUCGCUUGCCUUGCCUGCUUCCACCAUUAUGUGCAGAUCAAAAGGAGAAAAUUUAUUAGAACGAAGAGAACUAGUACUAAGAUAGAAGUUAAGAAAGGUAAGUUUGGAUGGUCAAUAUAUUCUUAAUGUUAGCUAAGAUCCAUAUAUGUUCUGCGAAGCAGCUGGGACGGAUGUAUAGUUCUAAUCACCCUUGUGUAGAAUGCAUGACAUGAGGAGGAGCGGUGAUUCAUCUGGUCCAUUGAUGACGGCGGAUCUCGGCGGCGUGGCGCAGUGGAGACUCGGCGACUGAUGAGCGGAGAUGGACUUGCGCAGGAGGGUGACGCUGCCUGGCGUCGUGGUGGCGUUGGCGACAGCUAGACCGGGCAAGGUUGAUGCAGCAAUACAACUCUGAAGAUGGAUUGAUGGUAGGUGGCUGCGGCGGCCUCAUACCCGGUUGGCGUCUUGGUUGAGAAGCACGCCGGACUGGUGGGUGCCCAUACCCGGCAGGCGUCCUGGUUGGGACCUCAAGUCUUAGAUGUUAGAUUUGACUGCGAGGUCUGUUUGGUAUUAGGCCUAGACUUUCAACGCCCCUACAUCAACUGGAUAGGGAUAGCAACAGUUGUUGCUUAGUUGGUGGCUUUAGGUUUAUUGUUGUAUGAAUCUGUAAAGUCUUGUGUCAAUAAUUAAUAAAAUGACUGUAUGCAUAGUCCAGAUGCAGAGGCCGGAGGUCGUCCUCCUUUUUAAAAAAAAAAGCUAAACAACUUUACUUGCAUCGAGUGUAAUCAGUGAAAGUUCAGCAGAAGAUAAACAGAUGUUGGUAGGUACUACAAAUAUUGAUCUGUCGUAUGCUGAAGUACGUACCUGAUUUGGCUCUCUGCUACUUGAGCUUCUCCUUGCUCAAGAAUUUUUCUAUCCCUAUCGGAGAUCUCGAUUCACUCGUAGACAUACUGCUUGAGAAACAUGCGCCUCCCUUGAUUUAUAGACAUCUUCAGCUCUAAUAGGCUGCUUUCCAUGGCAUUCAACCGGCCGGGGAACCUUUUCAAGCUAGUACUAGUAAAACAGGACCACUUUAAGCGAGAGCGAAUUUUUGGCACCGGGUGGCUUCAAAAAGAGAAGCAAAAGGCAUACGUACUUACUAGACUACUAGUUCACGCGUUUUGGAACGCGAACCUGCGUGUAAAACAUUUUCAAGAGAAACCAUUUGAAAGUCUGAAACAAAAGCUAUGGGAGUCAUGCAAUUUUCUUGUUUUGCAAACGGAUACAUGUGUUUGCACUUUGCAACGAUGCACAAGCAUCCCACUAGUUCAGUACAACCAACGAUAAUGCGCCUGAAUGACUUCUUUUAGAACCCUCGUCAUUUUAUAAGCUUCCACUGUCAAUGCUGCUCCCACCGUUGAUUGAGACCAACGAAAGCCAGAGUCAUUUUAUAAUUAACCACUCAUUCCUAUGCUAAUGCGCCUCGCCAAGCAUUGCAACUAUUCAUUAACACGUUUAACUUUGUACUGAACCACCAAUGUUAGGUAGACGGUCGAUGCGGAUUAUUUUAGCAAGGGCAAAGGAUUGAAGGGGUAUCUGCUCUUUCAGGGUCCAGGUUCAAGCCAAGAAGAGUAAAUUGAAGGUGCACUAGGUAGCACCACUUCAGGGAGUACUUCAUUAUGCCUUUGAAACUAUCAAUCCACCAACUUGCAAUCGGUUCAAAGUGAUCUCCCAGAUAAACAUACAGAAAUUGACAGAUCGUAGCCCAAAUCAAAGCCACAUAGUCUGAUAGGAAAACACAUGCAUUUUCAGCAUAGAGAAGGCAAGAAAGAUCAUCUAGGCACUGACCCUUAAUGAAGCUAUCCCUAAUCAGGAUCUUAUCAUGAGUGACUAAACAAGGAAAAACUUGACCGAUAGGGCUGCACAGAUGAUUUCAGUAAGGACUGCCCAAGUGAGAUGCACCCGGUUUUGCAUGAAGGAUUGGAUGGAGUAAGAGGGUGCUUGGAUACAAGGGACUAUUUUUAGUCUGACUAAAAAUAGUCUCUUUUAGAGGCUAAAGUUCCAAGCACCCCUGACUAAAGAGAGGCUAGGACUAGUCUUGAGGCUAAAAUCUUUUAGUCAUGGAAAACCUACUAAAAUAUGUAUUAGCUCUCUCUCUCCUCAUUUAAUUCCUCUCCUUAGUUCUGGAUUGGAGGGUUUGGAGGAUAAUAAAUGCUCAAUAACUAGAUUGUAGUCACUUUAGUACUUGGAUUCAAGCAUGGGUGAGACUAGCAAGUUUUAGUCCCACUACUUUUAGUCAUGGGACUAAAACGUAUCUAAGCAUGCUCUAAAUCCCUCAAGAAGUAAAAUGCCAAAGGAGAGGAACCCUUGUCAUCAUAAAAGGCUAUAGAUUCAGCCAUGCAAUGUUAAUAUAUUUAUUAUUUAAUUCACAAAAAUAAGAAAUGGCGAUUCUUCGUACAGCCAACUUAAUAUCAACAAAAAACAAGAAAACAUAUGCAACAUAAACACCUAUGAAACUGGUUACUCUAGAAAGAGACAUCCCAUUCGAGUCAAAUUUGGAAGGGGCAAACGGAACAAAAUGUCUAUAAAAUGGUAAAUCUAAGGAACUUUUUUUAAUAUCUCAGAUAUUGUGAGGGAAAAAAACACUCAUGUGAGUAGUGGCGUCACCUUUUUUUUCCACUUCAUUUGCAGCCGUGUUUCAGAGUACGUAGUUGCAAUUAAGAUUUAUUUUACUUCAGUGUUUUUAGUUCUUUUUUCAAAAAUUACAAAUUCAUUGUUUCCCAUGGGUCAGAUUACCGUGACUACAUGUACAUUACCUUAUGCAUGGAGCAGAGAUAGCGCUCCCACUAAAAGUCUUCCUCCUGUCUUUUUCAGCUUCAAGAAAAACCAAUCAAUCCCAAUACAGCACAACAGUUACUUCCUUGUCGCGCAGCAGCACUGUUCACCAUCCGGCACAUCACUUGCUCUCUUUCAUAUGAGCCUCCCUCAUUAGACAAGUAUGACAAAUGAAUAACUGAAGUAGUGCCAAAAAAGGAAUAACUGAAGUAAACAGCACAACAGCAAGAUCAUGAUAAUAAUACCACGCUAACUCAAAAUAAGAACAACAUGUCCGGAAUAUCUUAAACGCCACAAGGCGGCAAACAUCUGAAACCUGUCACAGUAGGCAAUAUAGUUCAGCAAAAUAACCAACCAAUGACACAAGCUGUUUGACAAAGCAUAAGCUAACAACAGGCAUCGAAGAGCUCCCGUUCAUCAAAAGAUCUGUCAAGAUCAAGUAGAUGACAAAGU
Molecule: long non-coding RNA, 66507 nt
Filed under: Triticum aestivum (bread wheat)
Lineage: Eukaryota; Viridiplantae; Streptophyta; Magnoliopsida; Poales; Poaceae
Description: long non-coding RNA (TAES_LNC001785)
Source: RNAcentral